This 65040-nucleotide long non-coding RNA is filed under the name Ananas comosus (pineapple). Its description in RNAcentral is "long non-coding RNA (ACOM_LNC015800)". The record is from RNAcentral. Lineage: Eukaryota; Viridiplantae; Streptophyta; Magnoliopsida; Poales; Bromeliaceae.
UUAAUGGUUAUAAUAAUAAUAAUAAUAAUAAUAAUAAUGAGUGAGGCUACUCUGCUAUUGGAAGCACGGAGCCUUCCGUGCUUCCAGCUCGUUUUCGAUUUUGCGGCUUUCGAAUCGUCGAUCGGCUCCGUUAAACUUGAUUUAGAGUAUUUGAAGUACCUAAAAAAUAAAUUUUAUGAUUUUACGAUAUCAUUUGCCUAGUGAACGAAGGGGCUCAAAAUCAACGGCUGAAAAUAAAAAUCUUACAAAAUGUAAUAAUAUGAUAUUAAAAUUUUAAAUCAAAGAUAUUGAUCUUAUUUUAUAUAGUAUAAAGAAUUUUCUAUUAAAAUUUCACGUGAUUUGAAUAUUUCUACACCGUUAAACUUGCAAACAGCUCACUACGGCCAUUGAAAUUUAUUAAUUUUGAGCCCAUUCGAUCACUAGGCAAAUGAUAUCGAAAAAUAAUACAAUUUAUUUUCUAGGUACUGUAAAUACUCUAGAUCAAGUUUAACGGAGCCGAUCGACGAUUCGAAAAUCGCAACAUCGAAAAUGAGCUGAAAGCACGGAAGGCUCCGUGCUUCCGAUAGUAUAGUAGCCUCACUCUAAUAAUAAUAAUAAUAAUAAUAAUAAUAAUAAUAUAGUGGAUGGUGGAUAGUGGAUGGUGCAUGUAUGCAAAGUUGCAAACUCGGCCAUCGCCUCCGACAAGUACUGUGAGUUCACUCUGUGCGCUAACUUGUGGAUGUUGUUACUCAUGGCUUGUAUUAGCGCAACGAUUCCAUACCUUUGUUCUCCAACUUCACUGCUCAAAUCCAAUCGCAUGCAUGCGGUGGCUUGCACAUCACUGUGCCAAUCAAGUUCUAUACCCCAACUACGUGAAAUUCCAUUUCUCGUCGGCAAAGUCAUCAAGAACAGUAAAUCUCAUACAUUUGAAACUUGAGGCAGUGUUUGACUAGGGAAACAAAAGGUACAUCCAAAGAAAAUUUUGUUCUCAAUGCUGUCAUAGUUGUAAUGGAGUCAUGGAGAUGAUGAGCACUAGCUAAGAUAACAAUACAACUACGGAGAUAGCAAAAGUUUACCAUACUCUUUUGUCAAUUUAAAUUUGUUAUUUUUAGAAUAAAUUUGUAAUAGAGAUAUUUUCAGCAUUGAUGCAUGAAUGUCAUUAUGUGACAGCAAAUUAAGUUCCAUAAAUAAUUGAUAAUUGGGGUGGCUACUAUUAUGCGCUGGGUCAUUUGCUGUGUAGAGCUUGUCCUAAUUUCAUGCCCGCGGAGUAGUGAACGGUCGUUAGGUUGCCUGGGAGUGGCGUGUCUCCUGCAGCUACAACGCAGUUGCAUUUUUGGGACUUGUCGCGUGGCACCUCGUGGGGGAAUAUUCAAUUAUUCAUCCGAAGCCUGAACUGGAAUAUUCAAUCAUUCUUCAAGAACAGUAAACCUCAUUCUGUCAUCUUUGCUUAACAACUAGUAAUAUUAUAACAGCUAGUUAUUAGCCGAAGUGACCUCUAGCUGGUUUGGGCUUCAAUAGUUUCAUUCAUAUUACUGACCGUUCUUAACGCAAGUGACAAACGACUUGGUAGUUGGUACUUGAGGUUUCGAGUUCGAAUCCUAGUUGAUUCACAUUUUUAGCUAAGUUUAUUUUCUAAAUAAAAUAAACGAAGCAGCUAGCAUAUUAUUUGUCUCUAAAAAAUAAUAAUAAUAAUUUCAUUCACACGGGAAGCUCCAAUCAACACAAACAAUUAAUCUAACAAAUAAUCUUAUAUUCAUACCUAAGAUAAAUUUUUUUUAUAAAAAAAACAAAGAGAGAGACUUGAGGAUUAAGAUCAAUUUCUGCACAAAAAUCAAAAGCUAAACCAGCCCUACACACCUCACUCUCACUUUCUCUUUCCGUCACGCAAUUUUUGAAGGAAGCAUUGGCCACUUUAUAAAGAUCGACGGUUACGUUGGGAAAUCUUCCCGUGAAUACAGCGAGACAAAAUAGUAACACUUUUCACUUAAUCCGUAUUCACCGUUGGAUACUGUAAAUAUCAUAUCAUCUUCUUCAUAAAAGCAUAUUACUAUCCAUUUGAUUCAUCCUGUUCUCUCUUUAAUUAAUUAAUUAAUUAAUUAAUCUCCUCAUGGAAACGCCGUGCAUCCUAUAAAGCAAUGCUCUUUCACACUCUCACUCUCUCUCUCUUUCUCUUCUCGGAUAUUUUCCUGAGAUCGAAAUGGCGGGAGUCCUCCUAUCCCUCCCCUCCACUCCCCAAUUCCGACCCUUCCGCCCCCUCCACACCGCCACCCCCCGCCGACUUUGCCCCUUGCGCACCAGAAUCGUCGCCGACUUCCCCCCACCGUCUCUCCGGUACCGGAACCGGCCGCCGACAUCUGACGACAACAACCCAAUUCGCAGCUUCUACGAGAGAGAAAAGCCCCUUCCCCUCCAUCUCUGCCGCGCUGGAGCGGGUGUGAUCAACGAUGGAAACAACCCCACCAAAUUCCUCGGCAUCGAGGUUUCGACGCUGAAGAAGAUCGUCCCCCUGGGCGUCAUGUUCUUCUGCAUCCUGUUCAACUACACCAUUCUAAGGGACACCAAGGACGUGCUGGUCGUCACCGCAAAAGGGAGCAGCGCCGAGAUCAUCCCCUUCUUGAAGACGUGGGUGAACUUGCCCAUGGCGAUAGGGUUCAUGCUCCUAUACACCAAGCUCUCCAAUGUGUUGUCCAAGGAGGCCCUCUUCUACACUGUUAUCUUCCCCUUCAUCGCCUUUUUUGGGGCCUUUGCCUUCGUUUUGUACCCGCUUAGGGAUGUUAUCCACCCCACAGCGCUAGCCGAUAGGCUUUUGGCGAAGCUAGGCCCGAGCUUUCUCGGGCCCGUCGCGAUCCUGAGGAUCUGGAGCUUCUGCUUGUUCUACGUGAUGGCGGAGCUUUGGGGGAGUGUGGUGAUCUCGGUGCUCUUUUGGGGUUUUGCUAAUCAGGUGAUCUCUGCUUUCUUAAUUGUUUCCCAUAUAUAUUUUGAUUACCAUUUGCGCAUUUCUUCAAGUCAUUAAUGCCCUCUUAGUUUCUAGUUCCGGUGACCGAUCCGUUAGCUUAAUAAAGCUAGUUGGGUGAUUCUUGGUGUUAGAGAUCACAAGUAAGAAGGACUUCACCACCUUGCAACUCUUUUGAAUUGGUUGGAGCCCUUUAACACUCGAAAUUGAUCUAUUUUGGAAUUUGCUACUUGUACUGUAACCUAUGUAUCACGAACACUUCUUUUAAGUCUUGCAUGUCCGUGUCGGAUACGUGCGUGUCCGUGUCAGACUCGUGUCCGACAUGGACACGCCAUAGACACGUGUUCGAUGCGGAUCGAUAGCGCAUCUCAUUAAAAAAAUAUAUAUUUCUAAUUUUACUUUCUUUUAUGCAUAUAUAAUGUAACAUGAUUUCAUAUUUUGGCUUUUUGAUAAAUACAUACAAUUUUUUUCAGAUAAUAUAAAUAAAUUAUGUAUGGUGGAGAAAUUAUGUGUUUAUAAAUAAAUUAUGUAUGAACUAUCAAUGACAAUUUUAUUAAUUUUCAUUCAUAUGAGAAAUAUAACAAUUUUUAGCAAAAUUAGCACUUUAUAUAUAAUAAAUAUAUGCUAUUAUAUUAAUAAUACUAUAAUUUAUUAGCGGUGUCCAUGUCGUAUCUGUGUCCUAAAUUUUCGGAAGCUGUCGAGUCACCGUGUGCGUGCGAACAUGCCCAUGCGCAUGUGUAUCAUUCAUGGUUGGAGACAAUUUUCAUUUUGUAAUGACUAGUGAGUAUACUCUUAUUUUCUGAUGUGUAAUUUUUUUAUCAUAAUAUAUAAGCGUUAUAUAAUUAUCAUGUUUUAGUAUACUCUAAGAUAAUAUUCUGUGACAUGCAAGUUAAUCCAUAACGUCUGAUCUCCAGCUUUUUAGUUUUAUGUUAUUGUAAUGUAAAUAGUAGAUACCUACUUCCCUUUCCCGGCAAAUAUAUUAAGGUUAUCUGGUAUGUACAUUUGCUCUUUAUGAAAUAUUUAGUCUGUACUUAAUUAUUCAUGUCUUAGUACAAGUUUGCAAUCAACUAGCUCUGUUUGCAUGUGUGAUUUAAUGUCGAACAAAGCCUAAAGAGUAGUGCAGAUUCUGAGAUGAUCAUAACAUUACGAAAUACCAGGAGGAUACCCAUAGAAACUGGACAUAUGAUCCAAAAUCAACAAAUAAAUUAGAUCUACAUGAAUAAUGGCAUGAGGGGCAUCUUAAUUUUGCAGUUUUAGGUUGGUUUUCUAACAAAGAAAUACUAAAUUUUCUUACCCUCUUCAUUGGAUUCUAACGAGAGCUGAAAAUUAAUUCUGCAAUUUGUGCAGAUUACUACUGUUGAGGAAGCAAAAGAAUUCUAUCCUUUGUUUGGGCUUGGAGCUAAUGUGGCCCUAAUCUUCUCAGGUCGCACUGUAAAGUACUUUUCUAACUUGAGAAAGAAUUUGGGGCCCGGUGUUGAUGGUUGGGAGAUAUCACUGAAAGGAAUGAUGAGCAUUGUAGUGCUGUUGGGUCUUGUUAUUUCCGCAAUCUACUGGGCAGUUAACAAAUUUGUUUUGAAUGAUCCUUCUCUUCCAAGAACAGUACGCAGAAAGAAGGUUGGUACUUAAGAGAAUUCUCUUGCUAUUUUGUUUCCAUUACAUCCCUGUGGAAUUGACUUUCUGAGAUUGAUACCUCUACAGGACAAACCUAAACUAGGUAUGGGUGAGAGUCUGAAAUUUUUGAUAUCUUCUAGAUAUGUGAGGGAUCUUGCCACACUGGUGGUGGCCUACGGUAUAAGUAUUAAUCUUGUUGAAGUCACGUGGAAAUCGAAGCUCAAAGCACAGGUACCUUUUGUGUGUGUGUGUGUGUGUGUGUUUGUCUCUGCACCUGUGCUGAAAUGAAAACUUUUCCAGUUCUCUUUGAUCUUUUGGUAUCUGAUCAUACUUCAUAUCUGACAGUUCCCAAGCCCUAACGAAUAUUCUUCUUUCAUGGGUGAUUUUUCUACUGCUACUGGUAUAGCAACUUUCAUGAUGAUGUUGUUGGGCCGAGUUAUACUUAGAAAAUUCGGCUGGGGGGUUGCAGCCAUGAUCACUCCAACAGUUCUACUUAUCACUGGAGUUGGGUUUUUCUCACUAAUUUUAUUUGGCGAACCAUUGGUUCCUAUUCUAGCUAAGUUUGGCAUGACUCCUCUACUUGCGGCAGUUUAUGUGGGUGCAAUGCAGAAUAUUUUCAGUAAGAGCGCCAAAUAUAGUUUAUUUGACCCUUGCAAGGAGAUGGCUUACAUUCCUUUGGAUGAAGACAUGAAGGUAAGUCUCUAAUUAUGAAUUGUGAAUUAUAGUGAUAGAUGGCAUUUUGGAUGAAGACAUGAAGGUAAGUCUCUAAUUUAAUUAUGAAUUGUGAAUUAUAGUGAUGUAGAUGACAUCUCAGUCGGAAUUAAUUUUUCUGCAUGUUUUUUUUAUUAGACAUGUGGUUCAUAGUUUAAGAUGUUAAUAGUGAUAGUUCUGGUAAAUCCAUAAGGGAACUGAACUACUGAUUCAGUUUAGAGACUGCCAAAAUCGUUAAUUUUUUAAGCUGCCGUUACAUCUUUUUUAAAUUAAAUGCUUAUCACAGUGAAUGGGAAAAGGAGUAAAAAAUAUAGUAGCUGCUGAAGAGAACAUCGUGAAACUUGCUAAAAGAAUAGAGAGAAAAAGAAAAGUUACUAACUAGAAUGCCAAUAUUUCCAUUAUUUUUGUGUGUAUAUUCCUAGUGCACGUUUAUAUAUAUAUUCUCAUAUUUAUCUCAGUAAGAAUAUGUUUAUGACAAUAGGUUAAGGGGAAGGCCGCCAUUGAUGUUGUGUGCAACCCCUUGGGAAAAUCAGGAGGCGCAUUAAUACAACAAUUCAUGAUUUUGACAUUCGGGUCCCUUGCAAAUUCAACUCCUUACCUUGGAGGCAUACUUCUUGUGAUUGUUCUUUCAUGGUUGAGUGCCGCAAGGUCCUUAGAUAAACAAUUUUCUUCAUUAGCUAAGCAGGAGCUCAAGAAGGAGAGAAUGCUCAAAGAGAAAGUAGAAAAUGCAGUUUUGGGUGCAAAGGAGGAGUUAAAGGAGAAGGAAAAUGGUUCUCUGCAUGAAUCAUUAGCUAUUAGUGAGAAUUUAUCAAACGGGUUGUUACCAGCGAAGCAGGAGUCAGCUGAUGAAUCAGAGAAUUCAUCAGAAACCCCCACCCGCAAAGCUAAGUGAGUUAUUUUCAUAGGUAAUUUUGUGCAGGCAAGUUGAUAGGAAUCAUUAGAAUUUAUCUGUUCAGCUAUCUCGCUUUACUAUUUGAAAAUUACAUUACAGGAACAACUAUGCAGUUAUUUCAUUUGGCUUUAAUCUUAGAAAAUAGGUCUGGCCUGUUCUCCUAAAUAUUGUUUCUAAACUAUGUAGUCUAUAUUGUAUUUUUAGUUUCCAAUUUAGCUCAUGAAAGCAUAGAACUAGUCCGAUUCAUAGUUCUAAAUUCCGAUAGAAAAAAAAAAUACAUUGCUGUGCUAUUUUAUGUAAUCAUGUUAUAAAACCUUUAUGCUAAUUUUGAUCCAUUAGAAGUGUCUGGAAGUUGUGCAGGCAAAUGCUUUUUCUAGAGGAUUCUCAUCUUUCUAUUUUACUAUACUCCGCCUUAUAUUAUUUGUUUAAAUAAUUGGAUGAUGAGUUAAUGCCACAUGCUAAUGAAGCGCUAUCCAUGUCUUUUUGUUUCCUAGUAUCCUAGGCUGAUUCUCUCUCCAUUAUGCGAAACAGAACACUGCAGUAGAAAAUUAUUUUAGAUCGGGAAGACUCCUAGAAAUUUGACAAGUUUCAGUGCAAAUCAUGCGGCAGCAACUCUUGAUCAUGCGAGUCUUUUUUAAUUAGAGAUAGCGUACCAAGUUAAUUGCUUUAAUUUACUUAUAUCCGAUCUUCCUAUGGAAAAGAUUGUUACUUUUUCUUUGUUUGGAUUACAUAAUGUCAUCUCUUUUUUCUCCACUUUUUUCCCCCUUCUUUUGCUGCAUCAAUUUGGGUUUUUUGCUUCUACCCAAAAGACUUUAUUGGCUAUCUAAACUGUAGCCAGAAACAAUGUAAAUGAUGAUGAUGAUUAUUCUAGAGCAUGCUACUGAUAGUGUAAAAAUUAGUAAGUUCUUUAGCUAAGGAUGCUCUACUAAGGGCUAAUCUGGCCUUGAUAGCAAGAGAUUGGGCCAAGACUUUUCAUCUAGGCUUGGCCCCAUAAGUUAUUCAGACCAAGCUAAGCCCACAAAUAAAAUUCGGAGCUUCAAUGCUCGGUUUCUAUCUGGGAGUUUCCUUCUGAAUUUCUCUCAAAGUGCAGGAUAUCAGGACGAUCAGAUGUAGACUUCUUUAAGAAACUUUCAUAAAGUGAAAUCUAGUAAAUGCUGUUGAUAAUUAGAGUUCAGACGAGGAUAUUGUGAUCUGAAACAUUCUUUUUCCCAACUAGUAUGUUUCCCAACUAACAUGUUUAACAUGUUCUUUUUCCCAACUAAUAACGUCAUCUUCAGAAAUCUACCCAACGACGUUUUCCGAACAGCUAAUCUUAUUGGAGUGUUGGCAAAAGAGUGGGCCGAGUCCUGUUGAGCAGGGUGACGUCUGAAUUAUUAGAGUGUUUGCAAAAGAGUGGGUCGAGUCCUGUAGAGCAGGGUGAAAGCUAUUUCUUAUUUUUAUUUUUAGUUUCAUUUUUAUUUCUUUUUUUUUUUUUUUUUUUUUUUUUUUUUUUUUUUUUUUUUUUUUUUUUUUUUGCGCCCCCUUCCAUCUAUUUUUUCGCUUUUCUGAGGCCCUAGCUGCUUCACUUCAUGUAGCUAAUUUUAUUUUCUUAAUGAAUGAAGUAGGUAGCGUGCUACCUUUCUCUCAAAAAAAUAUGUUCUUGCAGUGUUGCAGUGGUAAAUUUACUUGUCAUUUUCAACACUAGCACGUCUUAUCUCUAGAUUUUGAUCAAAUGGAAACCGUGACGCUGUUCUUUCGUUAAAAAAUUUUAUUUUUUUCAAAAAUUCACAAACUAAUUUUCUCUACCACAGUAACAUCCAUGGGGUUGAUUUCUGGUGUUCCUUGGCAUCGCAUCCUUUAUAAAGUAUAAAACAUGCACGGGGACCGGUGAGCAUAUAUACCACCAUAAUAUAUUGGUCGUACAUGAGUAUCUUGUUUUUAUACUCUGACACACAAGGAAUAUACAUUUAUUGCGAUAUUUGGCUUUUCUUAUAUCACGGCGUAAGUUUACCCUUUUUCCUUUGUUUGAUCCUUGCGCCGGUCAAAUUUAUUUUACUUCUUUCUUUUUGUUUGAUAUUUGUACCGGUCAAAUUUUCGUUUUAAAAAAGCGAGGCAUAAAUUUCUGUUCCCAAAUAUUUAAGUACCAUCUACUUCUACAACAAACAUCAAAUAGAGAAUACUACUGCUGCAUUGUGUUAUAAAAAGAAGUGGUUAGUGCUUGGAUUAUCUCGCUGGACAGAGGAGAAUAACUCCAUCUUAAUUUCUUUAAUUUGUCUUCUAUUUGUAUAAAAUAAAAUGCUCUUCUUACGAAAGUCUUACAACACUUAGAAAUUAUAUAAUUUAAUUGUUAGAUUUUAAUUUUGAAAUUAUAUAUCAUGCUUUUCCUUUCAUGAUUUAUAUUUUUUUUAUUAAUUAAAUACUGGCGCUUAACAUGUUGUGAAAUUUGCUUUACUCAUGCAGUUUCAACUUUCAACUGGGUGUUUUGUUGGAUGCUUUUUUUUUUUUUUUUUUUGAACGANNNNNNNNNNNNNNNNNNNNNNNNNNNNNNNNNNNNNNNNNNNNNNNNNNNNNNNNNNNNNNNNNNNNNNNNNNNNNNNNNNNNNNNNNNNNNNNNNNNNNNNNNNNNNNNNNNNNNNNNNNNNNNNNNNNNNNNNNNNNNNNNNNNNNNNNNNNNNNNNNNNNNNNNNNNNNNNNNNNNNNNNNNNNNNNNNNNNNNNNNNNNNNNNNNNNNNNNNNNNNNNNNNNNNNNNNNNNNNNNNNNNNNNNNNNNNNNNNNNNNNNNNNNNNNNNNNNNNNNNNNNNNNNNNNNNNNNNNNNNNNNNNNNNNNNNNNNNNNNNNNNNNNNNNNNNNNNNNNNNNNNNNNNNNNNNNNNNNNNNNNNNNNNNNNNNNNNNNNNNNNNNNNNNNNNNNNNNNNNNNNNNNNNNNNNNNNNNNNNNNNNNNNNNNNNNNNNNNNNNNNNNNNNNNNNNNNNNNNNNNNNNNNNNNNNNNNNUUUUUUGUUGGUUUUUUUUUUUUUUUUUUUUUUUGGCACAGAAAUUUCUGUGGGUGAGACCAUAAUUAAGGCUGCGCCGACCAUUUGGGCCGACACACUCGCUCUCUUGUAUGGUUUUUGCUUUGUGGUAGAUGUUAUUUGCUUAUCUAUGGUAUUAGCAUUCCAAUUGAUGGUAACAAUUCCUACUCGAUCGUAAAGUAGUUCUAAACAUCUACGUACUCUGUAUCCUGGACCACUACAAUGCGAAGUUGUCUCACAGUCAUAGGAGCGGGUAUAAUACGUUAAAAAAACCACCAACUGCUCAUGGAGAGGCCAAUAAUUUUCUCAUCCGAGGCGCCAACAGCGUCGCCUUCACGUGAAUACUGAAUAGCCGCUACUGGUCGAAAAAGCUGAACCAAGCAAACAAGCGAGCACACACACCAUCGCACACGCAUACCUAGUUACUUAUUAAUGUUACCCUCUCUCUAUAUAACCAGUCCUUGCCCUACAUCUUUUCGCACACCACACGACAUUGACCCCCAUCGUUAAUUUCUAGUUUCUCCUCUUCCCCCUCACCCCCUCGCACAUGUGUGAGCGCCCUCUCUCAUCGCCCUCUUCCUCUUCCUCUUCUUUUCUCAAUCCGUGUAUACUCCUCGUGACCCAUUCUCUGUAGAUAUAUAUCCCUAUUUAUAUGUGUAUAUAUAUAUAUUUAUAGUGAACUCUCAUUUCUGUUGCCAAAGACCCAAGUAAUUAGCGAUGAGGUCGCCUUCUCCGAGCCCCAAGUCGGCCUCGGACUCGAACCCGAAAGAGACCAAACCACCCGUUUCGACCGAGCCAUGGCUCGACGACAUGGACCACUUGGCCAAGACCAUCUCGGCCAUCAAGCACAAGGGCGCGCGCCCCGACCUCCUCGCCAAGUGGUUCCCGGAGCUCUCCGCCUCCUCGGCGUCGGCAUCGUCGUCGUCGGGGCGCUUCCACGCGGCCUCGGCGGCGGCGGCGGCGGCGGCGGCGGCGGCGUGGGCUGCGCCGGAGAGCCCGACGGCGGCGUGGCUGAAGAAGCGGCUGCUGGUGGAGUCGCUGGUGGCGGCGCUCCCGCUCGACGGGGAGUGCGGCGCGGAGGCGUGCGAGAAGGGCGGGGCGGGGGUGACGUGCGACUUCCUGCUGCGGCUGCUGCGCGCGGGGAGCAUGGUCGGGGCGGACGCGGGGUGCCUGCGGGAGCUCGAGGCGCGCGCGGGGCGGCGCCUCCCCGAGGCCUCGCUCGGCGAGCUCAUGAUCCCGGCGUUCGGCCACACCUGCGGGACGCUGCUCGACGUCGCCAUGGCGCUGCGCCUCGUGCGCGCCUUCCUCGCCGGAGCGGCCGGGGACCAGGACGGAGGAGGGGCGGUGGCGCCGCCGAGGGGCGGGGGCGCUGCGGCGAUGGCGAGGGUGGCGAAGCUGGUGGACGCGUACCUGGCGGAGUCGGCGGUCGACGCGGGCCUCGCCGUCGCCGAGUUCGAGGAGCUCGCGCGCGCCGUCCCGACCCACGCGCGGCCCAGCGACGACGGGCUCUAUCGGGCCAUCGACACCUACAUCAAAGUAAGUGUAUAUAUAUAUAUAUGCUAUAUAUAUGCACAGGAUCUUCAUCUCCUCCUCCGCAGCAGCUGCAAGUAGUUGACAUCUCUACCUUUUAUGGUAACACGAACAAAAUUAACUGCUCUAAUUGAUAGCGUCCCAAAUGGAUGUUACAGCAGUACUGAGCACAAUCUAGCUACUACCAGAAGUUUUCUAUUCGUGAAUCACUACAAACUCUCAGAUCUUGAGGUACUAGGCCACUCAGAUUGAAUCCUGUUCAUAGCCUCUAGUGCGCAUGGAUGCAUGCUUUGGUGUCUAAUUUGCGCCCAGUUGCAAAGAACAUGUUUUCUGCUUCUUUUCUCAUCUUUAAGCUAUCUGCUUAAUUAUCCAAGAUUUUAGCAAGUUGACACUACAAGCAAGGACAAUUAUCUCCUGCUCCUCACCCAAAAUUGGUCGCUGCAAAAACAUAGUGGACAUAUCUUACGUACUGGACAACUCCGAGUUGGUCCCAAAGAGAGAGCUUUUGUCCUCACAAAAAAAAAAAAAAGAAAAAAAAACCCAACAAUCUUAUUAGUUGAUGGGACAAAAUUAAAAAAACUGUUAACCAUGUGAUAGCACAUAAGCACCAAAAACAGAGUUAUUAUAUAUGGUAAUUACAUCAUUACAUGCGAAAACACGUACCCUAUCUCCUGUCUCUAGUGGACCUAGAGUAGAUGGCAAUAUAUAUGUGUGUGUGUGUGUGUUUGUCGUUUUCAAUUGUUUUUGGCAUUCCUGUGAGUUAGGGAUGGAUACGUGAAACUUUUUCUAUUGAUAAUUAAAAGGAAAUAGUGACCAAUGUGUGAAAUUGUCCAAAGAUUUGUACGGAGAUGUUACAUUUUCCCUAACAAACUGCACCUACUGUUGUGUCACGCUCACUUCAAGUUAAAAAGGGGUUCUAAUGAUUCUCCUAAUUAAGCUUGAAUCCUUUUUCUUUUCUUUGCUAACAUGCUGUACAAUAAGGCUGAUAUCUACAUUUCGUAUGCAUCCCCACAUGGGCCUGUGUGUCUUGUCAAGUGCUAUAAACUUUGUGGGCCUUUUAAACGUACAUGGUAAAAUUAAGUUCAGAGGCAUCCUGUAGAUUUAGCCCAAUAGUGUGGGGACUGAGACCCUUUUAGUACCUAAGUUUAGCAGAACUCAUCUCAGGAUGAGUUGCUAUCACCCGAAGUACUUUUAGAUGAUUUUUUUUUUUNUUUUUUUUUUUUUUUUUUUUUUUGUUUUUGCACCACCACAUGCGUACAUAUAUGCUCAAAAGUUAAAUCUAUGCAGUUAAAAAUGAUUGUACUGCGAGUUUACGUACCCAGAAAAAGUUACGAUUUUUGUUUAUAUAUAUCCUUAGCAGUUGGCGCUCAUAUUUGUCUAUACAUUUUCUCAGUUACUGAAAUUUUCAUGCCAAAAGGUUAUUUUGCACUGUAGGCCCAAACUAGGCUAUUUCGAGAAAUUCUUUUUUUUUUUUUUUUUAUGUCCCCCACUGCGUGUAUGUAGAAUUAGAAAGCCUAUCCAUAUAAAUCUCACAGCAAUUAUGCGUGGGCGUGGUAAAAUUUUUCCAUAAACAAAUGUAUACUUUAUGUAUAUAUAUAUAUAUAGAGAGAGAGAGAGAGAGAGAAAAGCUACUAUACAAUCGAAAGUAUAGAAAAUUUGAUAUUUUUGAUUUUUUGAUUCUUAAAUAAAAAAUUAUACGGUUAAAAUAAUUGCGAUCUUUUCAGAAUUUAAUAGUACCCCUAGAGUUGAGUGGUUCCUACAAAAUAAUAGUAAUAAUAGUAUUAAUCCAAAUGUUAAAAAUAAUUUAAGGGACUGAUUUAAGAGCUAAAAAGUUAAAAGCAUUAGAUUAUAUAUACUUUCGAUACUCUAGCAACUCUCUCUUUCUCUCUCUCUAUAUAUAUAUAUACAUAGAUGUUAGAAUUAUUAUAUUUUUACGAGUAUAGAUCUUCUUGUAACUCUACUAGAAGUAGUAAUCGACCCGCAUGCAUGGACAUGUGCUCCCCCUAGGCCCAUCCGAGCACGACGAAGAAGGAGAAGAAAGCGCUAUGCAGGCUCAUCGACGCGCGCAAACUCUCCACGGACGCAUCCCUCCACGCGCUCCAGAACGAGCGCCUCCCGGUGCGGUCGGUGGUGCAGGUGCUCUUUUGCGAGCACACCAAGCUGAAUCGCCUGGCCGAGUGGAUGAGCGGGUCGUUUACGUUCGGCAGCGGCGGGCCGAGGAGCCCCAGCCCGGCCCAGGAGCUGCCAGGGCGGUGCCCAUCGAAGCGGGAGGUGUUGGCCCACCAGCAGGAGGUACGGCGCCUCAGGGAGGACGUCGUGCGGCUGCAGGUGCAGUUCGGGGUGCUGCAGGCGCAGCUGGAUAGGCUCACAGCGGAGAGGCGGCGGAGGGGCUUCUUCAGGUGGAGCUCCUUGCUCUUCAGCAGUGGCGGCAGAGCUGCGGCGGAUGUGGUGGUGAGGGCGGAGGAGUCGGAGAGCGGAGCGGAGCGGCGGACGCCCGCAAGCUACAAGAAAGGAAGGGGAGUACGUACGGCGGCGGUGGCGACGACGGCAGCGACGCCCAAGUGGCGGCGGUCGAUGUCUUGAAGUGGGAGUACGUACAAUGAAUUAUUAGCUUUCUGUUAGUUAAGUUUAUCUUCUGCUGUUUUUUUUUUUUUUUUCAUUUCCCUUUUUUCUGUGGGAGCGAGAUGUCUUUGACAGUUUGGUUUACAAGAGUCUUGCACUUUUUGUGUGUAAGUUGGUACAAUGUUGUUACUCUUGAUGUAUGUUUGGUCUCACUUCUAUUUAUGUCUUCAAUUGAGUGUUAGACAAACACAUUUAAGUCUUAUUGUUGAUAUUUUUUUUUUACGUUUUUUAAACACUUAUUCUAUAUAAAUUAAUGUGUCCACGGAAAAAUUUUUCUUUCGUUGUUGUAAUUUUUCCUUCGUUGUUGUAAUUGAUUAGCUUACAAUGCAUUUAGCUAAAUGAUAAUAAUAAUUUAUUUAAACAAAUUUUGGAAGUAAAGAAAAGUUGCUCUUAAAUUUUUAUUUCCUGUUGUCCCGUAAAGAUCUUGAAUGAAAGAAUUAUAAGUAAUUGAUCACCGUUCACUUUUAUACCUUUUGAUAUAUAAAACUUUAUUUUAAAAAAUAAAAAACAAACACAAUGCUAAACUAGGUAGUUUAAAACUUUUCUUUGCGGUGGGUAAUUUUAGGCUUAGUUUGGUAUUGAAGUCUAUUUAAUGUUAUUAGAUAGAAUGAAGUUGAAAAAAAGUAUAUAGCGAUAUAUUUCUGCGUUUUUCAAUGGAACCGCAGAAAAUAUAUCAUAACCGACUAACCGUAAUAUGCGGAACACAAUAUUACAUACUGAAACAAACGCAAACUCCCCGCAAUCCCAAACGAAGCCUUAGUGAGAUUCUGAUUUUCAGAAAGCAAAAUUUUUAUUUUAAAUCUUCUGAUUCUAUUAGAGAGGUUGAGGGUCCAAUAACAUGUUCCAACUCAACAAUUGAGCAGGUAUGAAUUUCCCUAAAGCUAAAAUCAAUCAGCGGAAGAAUAUUUCUCAUGCGAUAGCCAGAAUCAGACUAGGAUAUUUGUUCAAUUUACAAGCUAGAUGAUUUAAUCAAUACAACUGAAUAACAAGAAUACGCCCGUAGGAUGGAAUGCAUUUUUGUACAUUAUUGCACUCACCAAAAGUCCUUGCAUGAACAAGACCCAUCUUUAAAAUGAUGGAACCUGCAUCUGUCCCUCACAGUUAUCUCCCUCCCAUAAAUCUCAGAGAUAAGCUUAGUCGCGGCAUGGCAAUCACUGCAAACCCUAAGGUUCUUCAAUAUACGGAUCGGCAUCCCUGGCUUCGUCCUAAUAAGCCCGAAUGCUAUCGCUAGCUUCUCGCUGUGACGGCACAGAGCACUCUCCUUCUCCUCUUCAUCCAUAUCGAGAAUCACCUCAGAUUUAUUGGGCGCAUACCCAUUUGCUUUUAGCCUCUGAAUCAUGUCUUCAACCAUUUCAUAGAUGUCAGCAGAUUGAGGGUGUGAUUCAUCCCCCAUAACAAAUUCAUGGACAACCCCAUCCGCCUCGAUCAAACUACACCCCGGUGGCUUCUUGAUCUUUCUCUCUAACAUAAGACCUCUUAUUCUCUUCACUUCAUCCCACUUCUGCAAUGAUCCAUAUAUGUUUGAUAGGAGAAUGUGUGUGCCGCCGUUCAUUGGAUCAAGCUCUAGAAGCCAUCUUGCUGUUCUUUCAGCCACCUCAAGGUUAUUAUGUAUCCUACAAGCACCUAAGAGGCCUCCAAGCACAAAGUAAUCUGGUUUCACGGGCAUACUUCGAAUAAAUUUUUCGGCCUCAUCUAUAAAUCCUGCUCGACCCAACAAAUCAACCAUACAUCCAUAGUGUUCGACGCUAGGCCUGAUGUUGUAAACACUUAACAUAGAAUCGAAGUGUGAACGGCCUUCUUCGACUAGGCCCGCAUGGCUACAUGCAGUUAACACACCAACAAAGGUGAUCGGAUCGGGUCUCACCUCACAGCUCUUCAUCUCUUUGAAGAUCUCCAGAGCCUUUUCACCAUGCCCACAAACUGCGAGGCCUCCAAUUAGGGCAGUCCAUGUCAUGACAUCUUUCUUGGGCAUGUCCUCGAAAACCCUAAUUGCAGUUUCUACACACCCACAUUUGGCAUACAUGUCGACAAGAGCAGUUCCAAGAACGACAUCCACGUCAACGUUCUCACGAUUGAUGUAGACAUGAAGCCACUUCCCAAGCUCAAGCGCGCCGAGCUGAGAGCAGGCCAAAACCAAGCUGGCCAUAGUAACUUUAUCCGCUUUAACACCAAUAAGCUGCAUAUCACGAAACAACGCCAAUGCCUCUUUGUAAUCGCUAUCCUCCACGUGCCCUUUGAUCAUAAUGUUCCAACAAAACAAGUUCCUCUCCGGCAUUUCAUCGAACAAUUGACGAGCAACCGAAACUCGACCGCACUUGCAAUAUAAAUCCAGUAGAGCGGCCCAAAGGACCAUAUCGAACCCAAGUCCAUUUGCCUCAAUGUACUGAUGAACCCGCUUUCCGGUUUCCAAAUCCCUGGCUCUCGCGCAAGCGACGAGGACAUUCACCAGCGUGAUCUCAUUAGGCUUUACAGACUCGAAUUCCAUCCGACGGUACAGAUCCAACGCUUCAGCCGCUCGAUCCCACUUGGUAUAAGCGGCGAUUGUCGUCGCCCAAGAGACGAGGGUCUUCUUCUCGGCCAUUUUGUCGAACACCUUGCAUGCGGAGCUCAAACACCCACAGCUGGAGUACAUGCUGAUCAGCGUGUUCUGUAUAUAAGUGUCCGAUCCGAACCCAAACUUAACCGCAUGGGAAUGAAGCUGCUUCCCAUCGCUGAGGCGCCCACAACACUUGAACAGAGAAGGGAACGUGAAGCGAUCGGGGAAGAACCCACCUUGAAUCAAUUCAACGUAGAAUUGGAGGGCGUUAGUGGGCAAAUUGUUGUUGGUGUAGGCGCGGAUGAUGGAGUUGAAGGUGAAGGAGGUGGGGUUGGGGAUUUGGGAGAAGACGAGGCGGGCGUAGUCGACGGAGCCGAAGGGCGAUGUGGCGGCGACGGAGACGAAGGCGAGCGCCGUGCGCACCAUCUGGGCGUGGAUCUGCUUGAGCUGCGACAUGGUGGCGCAUUGGUCGAGGAGGAGGUGAGGUGUUGGGGAGGGUUUAGGGUUUUGAGGGUGUUUCGGGGGAGGGAUAGUGCUGGUGACGAUAGAGGGAGCAGGGAAGGGAAGAUGAGUGGCCAUUGAAUUGAGUAGAGAGUUCGCAGGGAACCUACGAGCAUGUAUAUAUAUGUAUAUAUAUGCAGUUUUAGUUUGCUUCCUAAACUUUCGGUUUUUUGCAAUUUAGUUCAUAACUUUUGUAACUUCCUGUAAUUUUAUCCUUUAGUUAAACUUCAUUGUUUGGGUAUUGAAACUAGUUUGAGUACAAAUAGAGAUUUUGCAGCUAGGGAUGUCAAUAGGUAGGGAUACUCAAAAUUUUAUCUGAAUCCAAAUUCAAACAUAACGGAUUUAUUUGAUGGGAAGCGGAUAUGGUUUUGAAUAUGAAUAUAAAAAAUAAAAAUCCGAUGAACAUAAAUUUGGAUAAAUUUGGAUAUGAAUUUUGACUAUACCUGACGCAAACUCAAACUCGACCCGAAUCCGACCCAAAAUUGAAUUUAUUUUACAUUACAUAUAUAUAUAUAUAUAUAUAUAUAUAUAUAUAUAUAUAAAUUUGAUGUUAUAUUUGAAUUUGUAAUAUAUUUAAAAAAAUUUAGAUUUAAUGUAAUAUAUUUUGAAAUAUUGAAAAGAGAAAUAAUUGUUUCGGUUUCAAAUUUUCAAGUUCGAGUUCGGAUUCGUGUUUUAUAUUUUUGGUCAUGCUCAAGUUUGGAUAUGAAUUUUUAAAAUCCGUCAGGUUCGGGUUCUAAUUCGGUUUUCGGAUUUGGAGUCGGGUUCGGAUCUGGAUUUUUGAAAAUCCGCUCCGAAUCCGACCCGUUGACAUUCCUAUUCGCAGCCCUAGCCAUUGAGCGACAACCUCAUUUUGUGAUAUCAAACUAUUGGAAUUGAGAUGGCAGCGAAAACUUGUAGAUUAGAUAGUCAACGUAUCUAAAAAUCAAAAUAAGAUUAGGUUGUUUGUUUCACUAGCCUUUUUUAAUUGCCCUUGUCUCAAUGCUUUUGAAUCUUUCAUGUAGUUUUUUGGAAAAACUUUAAAACCCCCCCUGUGGUUUCGUAGUUUCUCACUUUACCCCCUUGUGGUUUAAAAUGUAUCAAAUUGCCCUCCUGUGGUUUCGUUUUUAUCUUUUCGGUAGCUUUUUUGUUAAUAUUUCAUUAAAUUAUAUACAAAAAACUUCAUAUACCCAUCUAGAUUUAUCAAAUAUUCACUUUAGUACCUUUUAAUUUUAACUUUAUCACUGAUUUAAAAAAAAAAAAUAAUAAAAUUGAUAAGAAAAAAAAAAAAAGAAACCACAGGGGAGCAAAUUGAUACAUUUUAAAUCACAGGGGGGCAGAGUGAGAAACUACGAAACCACAUGGGUUUUUUUGAAGUUUUCUUUAGUUUUUUUCCACGUGCAUUGCGGAUCUGGCGAAACGUGGUAUCAGUAAAUCAUUUUGAUAAUUGAUUGCAUCUACAAGAAUUAAUUUAGUUUGUUUGUGAGAUCAACAAUUAACUAACAAAUAUAAGGAUCCAUCUUAGUCCCGAGUUAGAUUUUUAUUGAAUGAUACUAUCUGUUUGAUUGUUUUUAAAGAAAAGAGAGCGUUUCAUACGGUGUCCGCAACAAAUUUGGAUGAGGGAUUUGGUGGUGCUGCAGAAUUUUAUACUAAAAUAUUAUAAGUCUAUUUGUUUUAUCGGAACUAAAUUUUAAAUUGAAAUAAACUUUGAGUUGAAAUAGAUUUCAGAUAAAAAUUAUUUUAGCCCCGCUGUUGCUUUCAUAUUUAUGAAAAUAAAGUUUUUCUAGUUAGUUGCUUGCUUGGUAAAAAGUAACCGGUGUAAAAAUUAUAAUUUACACAUAAAUAAGAAAUAACUUAAUAAAUAAUAAACUAUAAUGUAAUAAAUAAAAAACAAUAUAAUUUUUUCCCUUUAUAAUAAGAAAUGUAAUCUAAAAACAACUAAAUUAAAAAAUAUAUAUAUAAAUUUUAAUAAUACAAUAAUAAAAUUAUAAAGUAAAAAAAUAUAUAUACUCAAUUUCAUAGUAUUUUAAAUGUUCAAACCAAAUGAAAGAGAUAUUAAAACUCAACUAAUCAAUUUCUACCAAAUUUCAAAUAUGUAAACUAAAUAAAAGAAUAAUUAGUACAAUAAUUAGAUAUAACAUUUUCUGUUCUAUUUUUUUCUUCAUCUUUUUUUACCGUAAUUAACUUCAUUAGAGACCGCCAAAUUUAAUUACGUUAUUUUUGUUAACUAGAGUUUCAACUGUAUUUUUUUAUAACGAAUUAACAAACGAAACUGAUCAUUUAUGGCCGAAAAUAAUUUUACUUCUCUCUAAUUUCACCUAAACAAGUAGGCCCUCAGUAAAACACAAUGGUAUGCAUCAACCGACGAGAAAUGAAAGGAUUGGAGUUUGCGAUCCGCAGAUUUCAAAGCCGGAGAGAUUAAUUCUUGGUGAAGAUCAUGUCAAGAUGGUAGUUUUAGCAGGCACAUCUAAUACUUUUCCACUAAUGUUGAUGCACAACUAAAUUGAAAUUCAUAUUUUAAAUUUAAUUUUUUUAAUAAAAUUUAGAAAAAAAUAAUGUGCAAAGAGUAUUUUAAAAAAAUAACAAACGGCUUUAGAAAAUUAUUUUAGAGUCUUUUUUUAUUAGACUUAGCUAAAUGCUCUAUAAUUUUUAACAAAACUUAAUUUUCUAAAAUAAAAUUAGUAUGGUAGAAAUUACUUUUAAACAGGUUUUUAUUGUACUUAAAGAGCAGUGCAAUGUGGCUGUGUAUAAUUUAGCCCAGAAAAAAAAAAGAGCUUAUGUCUUAUCUGGCUUUCUUCCAAAAAAAAAAAAAAAAACAACAAUAUAACCUUCUUUUAAAAUUUUUUUUAAUUUAAUCUUUAUCUAUACCGAUCUUAGUUUUUUUAAGAAAAGGAAUAAAAGUCCGACCCACACCAAAAUUUAAUUUCUUGGACCGGGCUUGGGCAUAAUAUGGUCCGACCCGAAUCAGACCCGGUUCCAGCCCCAGCAGCGACUCAAUCUGACGUUUUAUAAUUUAGCCGCGAAAAAAAAGGAAAAAAAAAAAACCCUGCCCCCUCCGACAUCGCGAAGACUCCCAACUUUAGAAGCUCGUCGUUCGCGCAGCGCUUUCGCCUCCCUCUUCGAUUUCGAUCUCUUCAGGCAUUCGAGAACCUCCUUCCAACGAUCUUCACAUCUUUCUGCUAAUCUAUCACACUGUGUAUGAUGCUUCAAUAUAUAUUUAUUUAUUAUUUAUACGACCUGAAGAAUCGCUUUUUUUUUAAAAAAAGAAAAGCUUUAAGUGUCUGUUUCAUCUGUUCUUCUGCGUUGCAAUCGCGUUAUUGUUUUUCCCACACCAAGCAACUUUAUCUGGUCGCAGGUGUCGCAGGUUUAAAAUCAAAAUCUUGGAAUCGUUUCUAUUAUCUGCCCCAGGUUUUCUCUGAUAGAACUGUCUAACAUAUAUUCCGUCACUCUUCGAGAUGGUUUAUCAGAUUUACACUUCUUUCCUUCCUGCAUGGAUCGGAUAUGUGUUGCGACUUUGAUUUGUUGACGGUGAUGGGCUCGGUGGAUUGACCUCCAUCCUGUUUUUCCUUCUCUAUAAUGAUAAAAACGAUUUGAAUUUGUGCGUUUUGUCUUCCUAAUUAAUUCUAGGAUUUAUGAUUGAGUAAAUCUUAUGUCCUGCAGGCAUGACUUUUUUCUAUCAUUUAUCAUUUAAUGUAUGUUAUAUAUUGAUCUAUUUUUCUCCCAAAUGUUUUCAUAUCAUUUUUCUUUCUUUUGAAAUUUUUUCCCACACCCUAAGACACUGCAUGAUGUACUCUGUCAUUGUGUUGGUUCCUUUCAUUAUUGUAUUUCAAUUUGUUGUCUCAGGGGUAUUAUGUUGACUUUCUGGAAAGCCCUAACUGAAAGAAGCACCGGCAAGGCGACGCCAGAUAUGGGCAAGAUCACCAUGAAGGAUGACGCAGAGCUCCGCCGUAUGCACAAAAAAUGGAUGGUGAAGAUUGGGCGUAGAUAUGCAAAUGCUGAGGAGGAGGAGCGGCGUUUUCCAGAUCUUCAAGCAGACAGUGGAGAGGUGUGAAAGGCACAACGCAAAGAAGAAAGGUCACAUUGCAGGGUUGACCUGCUUCGCCGAUCUCACAUCCGAGGAGUUUACUGCCAGGUUCCACCCAAUUGAGUAUCCCCCCUGGGUUUAUGAGAAGAUGCGGGAGGAAAGGGAGAGGGAACUGGAGAGGGAAGCCUUGCGAUAUGCCAGGGAGAGGGAAGCCUUGCGAUAUGCCGGGCCGCCCGAAGAUUUUACUUGUUUCGGCUGCGGUGGCCCUUACUAGAACAUCAAGGCACAAAUAGUCCAUGCGGCGGUGUUGGUCUUGCUAGCGACUUGAUAGGUUAGGCACCUAGAAGAAAAUUUUAUGCUGCAACAGUUGUAGCGUCUACUAAUUUUAGUGGUGUGAUGAAACUCGUUGUUGAGCAAUCUUAGUGGUGUGGUGAAAUUCUCUAUUGAGUAAUCUGUCUACUACUAACCUUUUGCUAAGUAAUUUUGGUGGUGGUGUAGUGAAACUCUCUGUGGAGUAAUCUAUCUACUAUUAACCUUUGGUUAUUCUCUAAAGGGCUAUCCAAAUUUGUGGCUUGCUAGUUUUAGUUCUAAUAUCGAUCUCAUUAUUUGCUCUUUAAAUUACCAAAAGCACCCGUUUCCAUGCUUUGGAGACUCGAAUAUCCACAAAUCACUUUGAAGUCCCCUCCUCCAAUGUUGUAAAAUCAUGAAGCCAACCGCUAGAGGUGAAGUGCUGGGUUGAUGCUUCUCUGGUUGUAGUUACCAGCACCACCCUUGUAGCAUCAGAGGGGAACUUCAAAGUGUUUCGGGAUUUUGUAGGCACUGCAAAGCACUAAAUUGGCCAAGUUGAUUUAAGAUGGCAGAUUCUCAUUACACACUAGUAAUCUGUGCUAUAUCUUUGAUCGGACUGCGUAAACUUCAUCUGUUGCUGCUCUUGCUAAAUGGAGCAUCACAAAGAAGAUCGCAGAAUGUUGAAAGCCAAGUUUUGACUCACUGUUUUGAUCUGCGGCUUCGUCUGUUAUGUAGUCAAGAUAAACCUCUUUCCUAUUUCCUAUAUGUAUUAUCUGCUGAGUGUUCUCCAAGUUUGUGGUAACCCAGUGCAGUUCUGGUGAAAGAUGUUUUCAGUACAUUAUUUUAAUUAGUUAUAUAAGAAUUAAUUUUAUUUAUUAGAUCAGCUAUUAGCUAACAGAUGUUUGGAUGCAUCAUUAGUCUUUUUUUUUUAAAGCUCGUUGUUGAAUGUUGCAUCGUUUAUCUUAUUGGGCAGAACCGGAGAAGAGACCUAGAAAAUCUGCAUGGUCCAUCCAGAUGGUUGGCGCUUGAGAGACUCAGAGAGGAUAGUGCUGGUGACGAUAGAGGGAGCAGGAAAGGGAGGAUGAGUGGCCAUUGCAGUGAGCAAGGAGUCUACAGGGAACGUACGAGUAUAUAUAUAUAUAUAUAGCGAGAGAGAGAGAGAGAGAGAGAGAGAGAGAGAGAGAGAGUUUUAGUUUGCUUCCUAAGCUUUCCGUUUUCGCAAUUUAGUCCAUAACUUUUGUACCUUCUUGUAAUUUUAUCCUUUAGUUAAACUUCACUGUUUGAGUAUUGAAACUAGUUUGAGUCCAGAUAGAGCGUUCCCAUGCCUAGCCAUUGAGCUACAACCUCAUUUUGGUGAUAUCAGACCAACAUUCAUAACAAUUUCCUACCUUCACUAGUUAAUUUGAAGACUCCAGCAAAAAUUUUUGAACUGAACAUGUGGGAAUGCGAUAAAUUGAUUUACUGCAAAGAAAAAUUCAAUCACAACUGUUUUGUAUACACCCGCAGACACGCACAAGAUAAAUUGAUCAACUUAAAACUAAAUCUGGCAUUCUUUAAUCACGACAGAUAGUAAUACAUAUGUACCAACAGAGCAAGCCUCAAGCAUAACAACUGGUGCAAAAUAAUUGUACAAAUAUGUGAGGUAUCAAAUGCGGAACGCACCCGAGCAACACUUAUUAUUCAAGCCAUAUAAAAACAAUCAUAAAACACGAAUGUGAAAACUAAAAGGACAAGGCAAACAAACUCCCAUAAGUAGCCACAAUCUCUAUAUGUUAACUGCUUUCUUGAUUGCUUUACUGCAGGACUUGAUGAAUUUGCUGUUGAUUGUGGGAAGAGAAUUCUCAUCACCGAACUCAUCAUCAUCACCAAUCACCUUCGGUUUCCUCCCCAUGCAGUCCACACCUCUUCUCAUUCCUAAAAUCAUUGAAGGAGAUGAAGGGAAGGAUCUAAAUCCUCUAGCACUCUCAGACCUCGGAUUCCCUGCAUUCUUUUCCUCCCUCUCCUUUAUGUCAAAGCUCUUCCGCCCACCUAACAACACCUCUUUUCUGUUGUUCUCUCUGCAGUUUUUGUCCUUAAUUUGCUCCUCAUUAGAAUUUUUAUCAAAACUGGUUUUUUCUUCCUGUUGGUUGAAAGGAUUCAUUUUGUCUAUUGUUUCGCCAAUGCAGAUCUGCUGUUUGCCUUGAUUAUCCAAGAGCGAGUUAGUAGAGGUGCCUUCCUGUGAGUUCUCCAUGAGCAUCCGGAGCCACUUCUCGACAUUCCCUUUGCCAACUUGUUUCAUGUAUUCUUCGUCAUCUCUGCGAGGGCUUUGAGGCACAGAAUUACUCUUUCUUGACAGACGAGUCUUUCCAUGAAGUAAUGAUGCUUCCUCUUUGGCCUCUCCCGGUUUUCCAUGCCUAGUGUUUUCUGUACACACAAACGGGCUUUGAGGGAAUGUAAUUUCCUUUAUCUCAUUCGUCUUGCUGCUGGUUCCUUCUUUAAUUGUUAAUUUCUCAAGCUUCUCUCUCACCGAAAAGCCACUGCCAUAUGUCUCAGCUUCUUCCUUCUGGCUUUGAUGACUCGAGUUCCUCCCUUUCAGUCCAACACUGUUGCUAUAACUUUCCUCUUUUACACAUAAACCUUUAAAUUUAGUUUCCUCUGAUGGAUCAUUCUUUUCAUAUUUCAGAACUCUAUAUGCUUCACUGUUCUCACCUUCACCUGAUGUCGAAGUUUCGUCCAACACUUCUUCGCUGUCUUCGCAAAGAGAACGGCCUGCUUCAGAUGCCUUCUGCUCCUCUUCCAGGAAUUUUCUAAGCUCUUUUUUCAGAGGGUUCAUGAUUCUUCUAGUGGACAACAAUUCAAUGCUUUCAUCAUCCCUUUCCUCGAUAAGAUUAUCAUCAAUGCGUGACCUUUUCCGUGCUUGCUCCGAAAAAGGCUUGAUUUGUUUCUCUAUGUUAUCUCUUAGUUUGAACUUUCGACGAAGCUCAUUCUCCGAGGAAUCGCAUAUCGCUCUCUGGGCCUCUAAUCUCGCCAUGAGAGCACUAGUUGCAGACUGGUUCAGCCUAAGCUGUUCCUUGUAGACAACACUCCUAAAUAGUGCCACAAAGAAUAAAACAAUUCAUUGACCAGCAAUGUUUCCUAUUCACAGGGCCUGUUUGUCUUGUAUGAUGCUUUUUGGAGUAGCACUAUUGAGUAUAAGCUGCUACAAAAAAUACAAUUGACAAGUGCUGAUGCAGCAAGGCCUGAGCAAAAUUAGCCUAACGGCCCAGUGCGAUCUGGCCGACUGAAAACCCCAAACGUGCUUAAGUUUCCUAUUUCUUUGGUAGACCUGGCCCAGCCCAUUCAUUUUGAAUCAACACAAGAUAAUAUUAUCUAAAUACAAUUUCCUGGCUAGGCAGUUCCAAGCCAACCAAAUUUAACAAGGAUGCUGACCUUUUGCUCAGGUUUAGCUGCAGCGGAAGCAAAAGCUUCAAAUUUGAACUUAUGCUUUUCAAGGUUUAAAAGUUCAUUUUAGCUUUUCUCAUAGCAAAAGCUCUGAGAAAAGCCAAGCCAAACGGGCACUUAAUCAAGAUAUUUAGACAGUUUUGGGUUUUUAGGAGUGGCCUUACUGGUGCAUGGCAUCACGGAUCAUCUUCUCAAGUAAAGCCUUAUAAGAAGACUGAGCCUCUGCUAAACGCCGGCAUUUCUCAACCCGACGCCUUCUUUUGAUUAGAAGUGCUUCCAACUCUUGGAUAUUAAUUCGGUCUGCCUCAUUCUUUUGCUUCAAUUCCGAGAGUUCACCUUCCAAUUCAUUCAUUUCUGCUUGCUUCUUUUUAGCCUCUUCUCUCUGCCUCAACGAAUCUCUGGCCAUUACUAUGGAUAGGUAAGGGUUAUUACUAUAAUUAUCCAUAUCAGGGUUGUUAUUUUCUUUGGAGAUGUUUGGCCUGUAGCUCUGAACAGCCAUAGUAAGCGUGUCAUCCUUUUCAGUCGAGACUUUCCUUGCAGCUACAAAACAGUAAAUAAUUUCAAAUUAGGAACUUUGUGAGUGAAAUUUACAAGUAGGGAAAAGAUUUAAGUAAUUACUAUUGUAGGCCCACAAGUUUGACCCAGAAAUAGAUUUAACAACUUUCCUUUCAUCCAAAAGAUUAUGGCAAAUUUAGGCCCUGACAUUUGAUGCAUGCAAUUUCAACCCCAGAGUUUCAAUCUUAACCAUGAAGUUUGAUUUGGAUUUUAACUUUAAUCCAUGUUUUAAUUUCUGUCUGUGAGUUUCAAGGCUGGCACAAAUGACUAAUGAUGUUAUUGAUGAGGAGCAAAUGACUUAGUUGUCAAACAAAACGAAGUUCGGAAGCUAAAUUAUUACAAAUGAAAGUAUGAGGAUGAAAUGGAAAUCUGAGUCAAGUUGCACAAACCAAAUCUGUAAUUAACACCUAGAUAAAAAAAAAAAAAAAGUUUGGCAUUUUUUAUUUUCACUGACCAAUCAAUGGAUAAUUGUUGGGCCUCGAAGAUCUGUUUAUAUCGAGAGUUUUCAGCACUGAAGCAUCAGAUCUUCUUGUGGAAACAAUAGCUGCUGGAGCAAGCCCUACUUGCUUUUUCACAUCAGAGAAGUGUUGAGGAAAAGCAUGAGACUCGACAGCCUGCAGGGAGCUCAACUCCUCGUUCCCUCCAUCGCAAAAUAAGAAAGAAAAGGCUCUAUUCCUGCUUAUUUCAAAAAAGAAAUCAGUCAAUUUCUCAGUAAAAUUUAGCUCCUCAUCGGCUUUCAAUAGUUGAAGGCAUGUGUAUAAAAACCUAAUUACCUGAAGUCUGAGUUUCUUGAAGCAAAUAUGGAUAGGAAUUGGCUAACAGAUAUGCCUAAUUGGAGAUCCCACCAUGGUAUGAGGAACUCCAAUUUGUUCUUCUUCUUCUUACACACUUGGGAUUGAAGUAUUCUCAAAUUGCUAGGAACUGUUUUCCCCCCUCCUACAGUUCAUUCCGACGAUUUUAGUCGGCAAUACUAAAUUGAUCGAAAGAAGGUUUAAGACGCAAAUGAGAGAGUUGAGAAUAAUUUGAUCUACUUGUGCAGGGGAACCAGUGAUCAAUGUCCCAGGCAAGAGGAGAAGCUGAGUCGGCAUGCAAGUAAAGGACGUUGCCGAAUGGGUCUACUCGAAAGAGCGCAGGAUCGAAUCCUGCGUUCCUGAAUACAAAUAAAGAAAAUUUCAGUUUGAUUGCGAUUUUUUGGGGGGCAGUGUUUACUUUUUGAAGAAUUUAGGAGUUGAAACAAACUAGGCUGCUUACCCGAGAUGAUCCAAUUGCUUCCACAGGAGAUUGACGUAACCUCGAGGGUUAACACAAGGAACUGCCUCCGGAUCGAGGAUCGGAAACAUCUGAUUCAAGUCCUUUGCUCUCAGAGACUGUAAGAGCGAAAUCUAAUUUUAUCUUAUUUCAAAAAAGAAAGAAAAGACAUCUCUGUGAAUAUUGUUGGAGGCAUGAUGGCUUCAGAGAACAAUGAUUUCCACUAACUAUAACAGUGAAUGGCGCAGAUCCAGCACUAGAAUCGGGCGAAAAAAAUUCACAAAUCAGUUUUUGUGGACUACAAGUAGAUAGGGACCAAAAAAUCUCAUCUGCUUUUAUUCUCAGAUCCUUCCAAAAUGGCAAAUUGCAAAUUCUAAACUUGAAAUCCAAGUUACCCACUAUAUGUAGAGCAUAUUUAUUCAAAUCUCAUUUUUCACAAUGUAGUACAUAGAUAUAUAUAUAUAUAUAUAUAUAUAUAUAUAUAUAUAUAUAUAUAUAUAUAUAUAUAAAAGGGAGGGAGGGUGGGGGGGCGGCGUGGCGUGUAAAGACAGAGGAAACGAAGGGGGAGUUGUUACCUCCUGUGGCUGUAAAACAUAAGGGAGAAAGGUGAAAGGGGGCCCGUGGUUGUAAGGGUUGAGAAUAUUGGGGUUUCUACAGAGCUUGGCAUAGGCUUUCGGGUAGCCGAGGCCUUCGUCGACGGCCAUCUCCUCUUCCGUGAAGGCGAGCUUCGUGGCCAUCGCCGCUGCGCUUUUCCGUCGAUCUCUUUUGGUCUCUACACUCUUACUUGGCUAAGAGAGCUUGAUAGAAUAGCUUACAAGGGAACACUAUGUAAGAGAGUGAGAGUGGGACAAGAAGAUAGGUGCUAGGUUGGUCAUGAGAGAGAGCGUCUGUGAAGAAUUAGGGCAGGUGCUGCAACGGUCGGGUGCUCAGAGAGGAAGACGUUGGGUUUUUCAAAUUUUGGGGUGCCACGUCAGAGGGAGAGUAAAGAGAAUUGAAUGAAAAGGGCGGGUCGUGUUGACUGUGAUCUAAGAUCCUCUAAAUCAAUUCAAAAGGUACCACAAGGUAGGUACCCAAUGAUGCGCAUGUGGCGCUGUUUGAAAUUUUGAAUCCUCCUCUGCUGCAGCUUUUGUAGUUUAUCAGAUUGUGAACGCACAAAGGGACUAAGGUCGUAGCUACAGCAACUAAUGAACAAAUCCAAAUGACACAUGACUAAUACUUUAAUAAAAGGGUAGGUAGACCCCUGUCAGAUCAUCCGUAACAAAACCUUUCUUUUUAGAGUAAAAUGGACAAAUUUUACUAAACUGUAAAUUUAGUACCUUAAAAUUUUGAUUUUGCAAAAAUAUGGCAAUUUUUAGAUAAAUUUAGGAAUUUAUUCUGAAGUCUAUAUAAAUAUACUUUAUUAUUUCACAGAAUAAUCUGUUAAAAAUUUCACAAAAACAGGAAGGAAUUCGAAAAGUCAAAUGUAAAAAACGUCGCUGGCCGAGAAGCCUAGCUAAGGCUGAUGAGUAGACUGGUUCAUGCGCCAUAUCAGGCCUUGUUCGAGGAGGGCCUCGCUUAUCCCCAUUGCAAUAUGCACUGACAAAAGGGUGACAUUGCUCGUUCGGGUCAAUAUUGGAUCCCGUUUUUACUGAUUCGGAUAUUUGACUCGGCAAAAAGGGUUCUCAGAGACAACUAAGCAUCCCAGUCACCGAGCAUCCCAGUCACCAGAUCGAUUCCAGAAUACGAUAACGCUUUAUAACGUACAAUGCAAUAAAAUCUCCCGGUCAUCCUGGAUAGAACAGCUUGAGAAUAUAGAACUAUUCUACUUGAUAUUAACAGCUACUUUAGGGAAAUGGCCGUGAAUGAGAUGCUUCUACAUGAAGAAAUAACGCUAAUACCCCACAGAGUCCCCUUGAGAUUAGGAUUAAAAACAAGCAAUGUGAGCAACAAGGGAACAAUAAACAACUCUCAGAUUCGGCCGACCUACCUAGCUAGUGUACAGGCAUCUAAGUCCCUCGGCAAGCUUCACCGGGGAGCCUCUACAUCAUAACUACAACAUCAAUUUACAAAUCACGCCACUUAUUCUCUUGCUCUUCCCCUCUCUAAUUCCUGGUCAACAGUAGAACAUAACCCUCUUCACAUUCUCUUUCAGCGCAGGCAAGGGCUUCACGGAGGGCCCAUGAGCUGUGCGAGUUGCUUUCGAUGUCGAGUCUUGUUGUACCUCUGGUUCCAUAUAAAAGCGUGCUCGAAAUGCAGCUAAAUGCGCAUAGUAUGCUGGUGGAACUACAAUGAGACGAAAAGAGGAAUUUUUUUUGAGAGUUCUUCGGAAAUAUAAAAAGCAAAAUUACAGUGGAGAAAGGAGUAGAAAAUUACCAACAGAAACAGACCGCGUACAGCGAGCAUACCUGUAACCAUGCAAGAUUCAAAUUAAGAAGCACCGAACUAACCAUGCAAAAAGAGAGAAAAAUCAUAGAGGAUCUUACGUAUAGCAAAGGUUAUUUGUUAGUGUCUGCAUUUCAUCUGCUGUAAAAUUGUUUUCAUCCCAUAAAACAUGGUAAUGCGCUGGCCUGCUAGUUCCCUGCAAAACCCCACAGAUUACAUAUUAGCAAAUCGGUUGAGAAGCAAGAGCUCAAUAAAAUUAGGCAAAUCACAGUAGAAUAAUUGAAUAUGAACUUUUUAUUCAUUAUAUAUAUAUAUAUAUAUAUAUAGAGAGAGAGAGAGAGAGAGAGAGAGAGAGUUAGGCUACUAUAAUAUCUAUAGUAUCGAGACUCCGGUACUAUAGUCUUAUUUUCGAUUUUAGGGUGUUCAAAUCAACGAUCCAUACCGUUAAAACUGAUCUAGAGUAUUUGAAAUUUUUAGAAAUAAACCUUUAUAUUUUUUCGAUAUAGUUUACUUUAUGAUCAAAUUAUAUCAAAAUUGUUAAUUUUCAAUGACUACUAUGGCAAGUCUGUAGUUUAAGUGCAGCAGAAGAAUCUAAGUUUAUUCAAAUUUCGAUAGAAAGUACCUUAAACUAUUUAGAUCAAGAUUAGCAUCUUUGAUAUUGAAUUCAAAAAUUCUAUCCACAAAUUUUAAAGAUUGUUCAAUUUCCACCGUUCAUUUUGGCAUGAUUUAUUUACCGAGUAAAUGAUAUCGAAAAAAUUUAAAAUUUUAUUCCUAAGAACUUUAUAUACCUUAAAUCAUAUUUGACGGUAUGGAUUGUUCAUUUGAACACCCUAAGAUCGAUAACGAAACUAUAGUACCGGAGUUCCGGUACUAUAGAUAGUAUAGUCGCCUCAUUAUAUAUAUAUAUAUAUAUAUAUAGAGAAAUGAUUCGGUACUUUAAAAAAAAAAAAUAAAAAAGAUCUUAACCGUUGAUUAAUAGAGGGUAAAAAUGUAACUUUAAUACUUAGUAGGCAAAAAGAUUAUUUUAUUCAAGGUUAGUUUGGUAAUUAAAUAAUACAAUAUUUAAAGAAACUUUUAAUUGAGGUCCUAAAUUUAUGCAUUAAUUAGUACUAAUUUAGGAAAUUAANCUAAAUCUGAGCCUCUCAGUGAUUCUGUGCUCUUUUUCAGUCUAGUGAGUUUCAAGCCAAUCACUACACUACAUGUAUAAUGUCAGCCCCAAGAACAAGGAUGCCUAACUAGUUUUAAAAAAGAAAUACCACGAGUUAUUCAAUAAAAUAUUAAGACUCGCAACCAUACGUAAAUUAAAAUACCAAAUAUGUACAAUAUACCAAGAUUGUUUUUUUUGGUGAUGAAAAAUUUAUAUGAUUACUCCAGUGUAGAGGUUUUCAGACCUACUAUAACUUCCUAUAGACUGCAAUAUUACAUUUUGUCUUAACUUUAUUUUAAUAUAUCUUUAUGUGAAGAAAUAAAAAGUCAUUUUAACAUCUUUUAUAUAUUAUUGAAUGUCUUAAAUAACGCUAUACGUUUUCUACUAUAACAUAUGCAUCCCGUAAAACUGUAGCGAGAGAGCGUCUUUUGUAACCGGUGCAAAACCUAAAAAAGAUUUAACACAAAAUUCAAGUUUUGUAUUUAAUUCUUUUAGCAACAUUUAAAACAAACACGAUCACUGUACAAAAAAAAAAAAAAUAAAUAUUCGUUAGUUUUCGUUUACUCUAAAAAGGCUACCGAUUCGUUUCGCGCGUCCACAUUGUCUAUUAUAAUUAUUUUCUCGACAAAAGUUAAUCUAACCACCUUAUAUAUAUAUGAUAAGUGAUUAACCGAAACUGGUUUUAAUUGAAAGAGGUAAUUAUAAUCAAUGUUUUUAGGAUAAAUAAGAAAAAAAAAAAAGGGUAAAUCAUACGUACGCUAAUUGAUCAUUAUAUAAAAAAUAGCAUGAAAGCGUAGCAUGCGUUAUUUUAAAGAGACAUUAAAGUUUACCUCAGAAUCAAAUAUUUCUUUUCGUGUUCUUCCAUACAAAUACAAGAGAUUAAGAAAAAGGCUUGUGCUAUUUGGUGGAAAGUCAAAACUACGAGGGAGAUUUUUUAUAGUGUUGAUAAUCUCGAAAAGUUAUAUAAUUUCGUUUUCUACAAUAUAAUUACAAUUAAUAUCUAAUAGUAGAUCAUUGGGAGAUCAUGCAGAUUUGUCCUAGAUUUAAUACACCCGAGAUUCAUACCACUGAUUCGAUCCAGUUUUAAGAGGGGGAUUGUUCCUGUUUUGUUCGAAAUGUAUAAAAAUAGGAAGAGUGUAGUGAGGGUAAAAUUCCCAUGCUUUGGUAAACACAAUAGAGGAAAACUUUCCUGUAAAAAACGAAAUUUAAUAUAUACAAACAGAGUUACAGAGGAGUAAAUAUGCAACACCAUCAGGAUCAAGGAAUAGAGUAAUUAUUAAUUAUAUACACUCCUAUUAUAGAUGAACUGAGUUUGUACAAAAAUAUUUCCUAGCUACGCAUGCUAUAUCAUGGUUUUUUUUUAUUUUUUACACCAUCAUACCGAUAGGAGCAACGCUCUUUUUGCAAACAAAUCCUUACCCGGGUUUAACAGUUUCACCUAGUUGGGUUUACAAUAAUGAUGUAGAGUUGUAUUGUUUGUCUUGUAAUUGAAGGUGUUAUAUAACAAAAGAAGACUUUUUUUUUUUUUCCUUUUUUUAAAUUUUCAGUUUCACACGAACUUCUUCUACAAAAACAGGAAAAGAAAAUCGGUCUCUCUCUCUCUCUCUCUCUCUCUCUCUCUCUCUCUCUCUCAACUGGAUUUUAUAGACACCAUCAAUAUUAAGUGUAAAUUAUUAAAAAAUUAUAUUAAAGUAAAAAUAGUGGAAAUACUGUUUUUUAAGUAUGGUAGUUUCGAUAAUCUUCUUCGUGAUUGAUAAUAGUGGUAAUUUUAGUGAUAAAGAAUAUAAGAAUAUCGUCAAGACUUUUAUACGUGAAACCUUUUAGAGAAGCUAUCGAAAGUUAAGAUCGUCUGAUCCUUCCAGGUUCGCUUCAAUUUAAAUAACCAUCUUUUGGGAAAUCGAAUCUAAUACUGGUUUAAUUGUUUCCUGAAUUUUUCAUUUUAAAAUUAAUUUUCUAUUUUAGAUGUGUGAACGUGUUUUGGAUGUGUGGACGUGCGUUAUUGAAACUGUACGGUAUCAAAAGUGAACUACUUUUAUUUAUCUAAAUAAACAAGGUUUUCUUUGGUAUUUUGAUUAAAUAAAGAGUAUACACUUACGUGGUACCGUUCUUUUUCGGGAUUAAGUGCAUCAAGCAAAAUAUCAACUUCUUCGUUCUUUGCCCAUAGUUGAUUGUUCCUUGAGUACCGUGUGCCUUAUUCUUUGUCAUAUGUCCUUUACGUGUUGAGGCUUCUUGGUCACGAAAACUAAGCUAAAGAACAUCUAUGUUUCGAUUAAUUAGUGGUGCCAAGUCCGAGCAGCGUUAUCGGUGUCGUUUAUCUUUGUUGUCGUCGGUUUAAACGUUGAUAUCAAUCAUCUUCUCAUCAUCAAUCGUGGUGGUGAGGCGGCUGCGAUUUUAUCAUUCUAAUCAAUGUUAGAAGUUUGUACCAUCUUUCCCGUUGGGGUCUUCGUAAGUUCAAUCCGUGUUUUUUCCUCCCCAAAACCAAUCUUCCUAUUACUGCAUACAGCAUUAUAAUCACCAAGACUAGUACAUCAUUCGUAAAUGUGCGUUAAGGCACCAAUUAAUCAGUGAAGUGUGUCGUACUAACCCACUGUGAGGAGCUCUGCUACGAGGUAGUUGACGUUCUGUUUACACAGUCUCCCCCUCCCCGCCCCCCUCUUUAAUAUUGCUCAAGUAACGUUUAAACUGAAGCGAAGAUUCUAGUAGAAAAGAUAAUCUCUUCGUCUUCUACCUUGUAUGUCGAUUUACAACCUUUUUCAAUAGAUCAUUACUUGAACACAAGACAUGUCAAAAAGAAAACAUUAUAACUCGCUUUUGAUCUAGAAAAUAAGCGACGACCGGUUACAGCAUUAAUACUCCGUCAUAUAUGAUAUUGUCAACAUCCGUAGAACUUAAUAAUGCAAGUGAAUUUAACAAGUUGUUCCAUGAGACACAUACGAUGGAUAGAGAGUUUUUUUUUUUUUUUUUUUUUUUUUUUGUUUUGUUCCAUGAGCACAUAGGAUACGAGGCUUUCGUCUUCAAGUAAACUUCGAAUACUAAGAUUGAUAUUUUUAAACCAUUUUUAUAUGUCUUAAAUGGAUUUGAUGGUAAAACUCAGCCGAUAGGUUGAAAAGUUUUAAAAUUAAAAUGAUGGGUUGGAAAAUUACACCAACUAAACUUAGUUAGCUGCCAUGAAAUUGAAGUUUUAUAUUCGAUUAAUGAAAUUAUUUAAAUAUCAACACUCUUAACGUAUUUCGUAACAUUUCUAAUUGCUACGUAAGUUUAAAAUUUUAAUAACUGAUUGAGUUUGGUUGUUUAAUUCUCUGACCUAUCAUUUUAGUUUUAAAACUUUCCAAGCCAUCGGCUUAGUUUUACCAGGUAUCAAGUCCAUUCAAGAUAGGCAAAAAUGGCUUUUUAAAAUUGUUUUUCUAAUUUCGAAGAAGGUUGUUGUCGUCUACUUUUAUGGUUGAACGGUUUCAUCUAAAGAUUACACUUUUUCUGCCAUGGAAAAACGAGACCGGCCCUUGUUGCCGAGUUUUAAUCGAGAGGUUUACCGACAAGCCCUUGGCCAUACUCGAAAGGAUACUGACGAUUGCCGGUCGACGUGUUACUUGGAUAGAAGUAAUCUGAACCGUUGUCUUCUUUUUUAUAGCUCGUAUGUUCUCGGAGUACAAUUACUAGGCGAUCCAUUUCAAUAGUUGGUACUCCGAGCACACGUUGAGAUUGUAUUAAUCUGUCUAACGUAAAUUCAGUUGAACUCUCUUUCCUUUCUCUUACUCUCAUUUCUCUCUCUUCUCUUUUUCUCUUUACCUCUUUCUCGCUCACUUAGAGUUCAACAUAAGAUACACAAGUAUAUAUAAAAAAAAAUUUUUCCUUUUUCAACGAAGCGGAACCUUUUAUUGAUCAUCGUUUUAGCUUAAUGGCUUGUUUCACCAGAGUGGAGUGUUUUGGUUAUCGAUAUCUUUGUUCGGUGUCGAAGGUUCAAUUAAACUGUCAGCUACACUUGAAGGGUUCUUUGAGCUACUAUUACUGGAUAUAAUAUUUCUUCGUUUUCUUAAUUCGUUGCUAAAAAGAAGUUUGGUUGUACCCUUUUUCAUAAUUAAUAGAAACUACUAAAGUUAUGGACUUCAUCUUGGCAUUAGGGAUGUUACGGGUACUUCUCCAUCAAGAAACACUGAGGUGACUUAUAUAAGUCGAGUAAAUCGAAGGCACUUAAUUUGAGUAAUUUAUGGACUCUCGCUUUUUGUUUUUUAAUUCUCCUUCAGCAUAUCUUAAACUCUCGUGUAUAACUUAACAUUGGUCUGUAUUACCUUCAUUUACUUGUCGGAAACUCAAAUAGAGCGGACCUAUUUUACUGAUCCCGUUCUUAAGGGUUCUAUCCAACGUGGAUCUAUGAUAGAGCAACAAAUAAGUUUUUAACACUUCGGGGUUAUUCUUUUCUCGGUGUGUAUAUUUGAGAACCUUUCUAUAGAUAAAUGUUUAAAUACAUUUGAGACUUAAAUCAAAAAAAAAGAUUUUAUGUUUUUUAACCUUAAAAGUAUAUACUGAAGUUUUUGUAAGAAAGAAUGUAUGUUUUUUGAUAAUAUGUAUGUACGUUUUUAGAGAGAGAAAUGUUUAUUUGGAAAACAUUGUCUGGUGGUUGAAGGGGAUACUUACCCGGAUGGAUUGAAUGUUUGACGUCAAAACUCCCCCAUAUGUACUUUAAGUCUAAAAUAUCCCCAUAUAUUUAUUAUCUAUAAAACGUCAUUAUAUAGACCUUUUUGGUAUUGGUUAACUCGAUUUGUUUUACGUCAUUUGGGACCUUUGAGCAUUUAGUCAAAGUACAGCUGAGUUAGCAUCUUCUCCUCCAUAUUUGAAUGAACUGUCUCUUGUUUACUUAACUUAUAUUUCCAUAAAAAUUGAAAGAGUCGUACUGACCCUGACAGUAACAAGUUUACGUCUUACGAGGACGGAGACUUCAAGUCACAUUCUUCCUGUCACUAAACUUUGUGUCGGAUGUUAGUGUCGUUCUUUGUUAAUUGUUAUCGUCUAUCAAGAUUGGAAUCUCCUCCACUAUUUGAUUUUUUAUUUUUUAGUCGUCGUUCAAAACCUUCUUGUACUUGGACAUAUUUGUUCAAGGAGGUGUACUAUAAACAUUAGUCUCCGAGAGACGUCUCAUUCUUUUUAUCGGUAAUCCAUCUAGUAAGUACGAUAACUACGAUGCUCUUGUUAACGUUUCGUAUAACUUUCUGCUAAUAUCUCUUUUCCUAAAGACUGUUAGUCAAAUUUCAUUUUAUCCUCGGAAACUCCUGUUGAGAACUGUCAAGUAGAAGGUUUUUGUUUACGUACUUUCGCUGUUAAAUUGUUAUACUUUUUUUUAGUGAAUUCUCCCCCUUAAGAGGUCUGUUUCUAGUCCGUUGACUUCCAUUUUUUUGAAUAUUUAAACAGUACAAUAAUUACUAGACGGAUCAGAAAAGUACAUCCCUCCAACAACAACAGAGUUCUAUACCCGAUAAGUUGAGUUUACUUAUUAUAAUGUUAUCUUUGCUCGCUCGGUUUAGAUUUCAUCGAAUGAUCGAAUAUUCGGUUAUAUUUCUUCAUAGGGUAAAAUGUGUUUCUUUUAAGAUUGGAGGCCGGCUGUCCACUCGCAAAGUAUUCAAGUAGGCAACCACCAAGUCAACGGUUACGUUCUCGGGGUUCACACAGGUACUAUUCCAACUGGGUUUCGUCGACAAGGUUUUUUCUUUUACACGCAAUAUUAUUAUAAGCUGACGUUUAAAACAUCAGGUAACUUUAAUCAAAUCAGGAUAAUCUCUCUCAUUGUAGUGUUCAUGGUUUUGUACGAAUAUGGUAAUGAUCGGUCUUACUACUAUGUCUUUCUGCCGUAGUCUACUGUGAGUAGGUCGAUUCGUGUAGUACGAUUAAAUUUUGUAAAGUGUUCGUUUAAACAAAAACCAAAACCGAUCAGUAAAAGUAGGAUCUAAUCGUCCAUCCUUUUCAUAUCGUAUAAUUUGGACUUGUCGUAAAUUUCCUUGCAACGGUCUUCUUUGUCGUCGUUGGUGCAACUAGUGUUCUCGUCGGUGCAACUGCCACUCGACUUUGACUUAUUUGAAGACCUACAAACGUAUGUGUCUUGCUGGGGUGGCCUGUUGGAUUUUGUUAUUACAUAUUCUACUGGUUAAAUAUAUUGUCCAACUUAGAACUUAAUGUAAAUAGCGAUUUUUUUCUUUCUCGUUUGGAAGUGUUGUCUACGUUUUAACAGUAGUUCUUAUUAUUACAGGCGUGAAAGAAAUCGAUGGAGACAAGGGCUUUACGGGUAACGUUCUGGUUAUAGUCGGACUUUCAGUAUUUGUUCCACUUAACUCUUAAAUAGUAUUUUGUUACUUCGUAAAGUACCGUAUAUAUAAAAUACAGUAGAUUCAGUUUGGAGUACAUUACGUCCUCGUAGUAAACACGGUAGAGGCCAUUGUCGUUGGUGUACCAGAGAUGAGGAGUUUCGAGAAUGUUCGUCGUCGAACAGUAAACCCCUUCUAGAAGGGUAGUGGAUAUUACGGUUUCGUGUAAAUAAAUAGAAGUAAAAAUGUAUGCAAUAAUUAGGAGAUUCCAAAGAUGUUCGUCGUUGAACAAAGUCUUCAUUGUCUGCUUACAGUUCCUUUACCAAUUUAAAGUACCUGUACGAUUUGUAAUUCAUAGUGUUUUGUUUUGUUCGUGUGAUCACUUUGUCUUCUUUUUCCGUGAGUUUACCUGAUUUUUCCUCGAAUUAGUAUGGUUUUGUUUGUUAGAACGUCAAUAUAUUACUUUUUUCAUUUCUAUAUAUACAUAUGAAUUUAUAAUGAUUACGAAAGUUUAUAGAGGUUAAAUGUGUUCUUUUCUCCCGUGACAUGAGAAUGUCUCUAAAGUAAUCGUUAGCGGAGAGAAAGACGUAGUCAUGCACGCGCUUUACAAGAAGGGAGAUAGUGGUGACCGAGACUGUGUAACCCUAGUCAUUCAUAGGGUGUGAGGUUUCGUUACCGAAACCGACAAACUUCUAAUAGGGGUCAUUGGUAUGCAUGGAUGAAUAAAUUUUCUUGUUUGAUUACAUUUAGUCCCGUAAAACAUAGGUAAGAUUAUUGUCUCAAAUCAGUUCUUACUGUUGUAACAGAAACCAUUCACUUUAAGUUGGUUUGAACAGAUGUUUUAAGUGAAGAAGUUUAUUUCCACUUCUUAUGUACAAAGGAUGUUCCUGAUUGUAGCUUAUACAUUAGGGUGAAAGUGUUUACUUGAUCUUUUGGAUGUCUAGAGAUUAUAUUCUAUUAUUUUUAAGUUGUUGUCGUAUUCUUCGAUGCUUUUCAUGGAACUGUGGUCGUAGAGAUGUAUCGUCUUGUCGUAGAGCCUGAGGUCCUGCUGUUCCUAGGAUGUUCAGUUUGUCUACAAUGUGCAUUAUUAUUCUUAGUGGUCCGUAGUAUUUAACGACUCUUAAUGUCGUUUUACUCUUCAUACUUUUGUUACAAAAUCCUAGACUUCAGACUUGAUGUAUAUGUUCCACGGAAAACACUUAACGUAUAGUUAUUGUAUUUACCGUUAUGUUUUACCAUGUUACAAAAAGAACAAGGUGAACGUGAUGACGGGGUCUACCGUGUAUCAACUUCUAAAAGUUCUUAGUAAUAGUAUUGUCGCAAAGUGUACCAAAGAACGUUUAAAUAGCAUCAUAAAACUUAAGGAACAUACGUUAAACCUUACUCUUUCUUGCUUUCUUGUUAUCCUAAGAGGUCGUGCGUGGAACUAGGGGUGUUAUCGUUCGUCUUAGUUCAAUAGGAGUCCGUUGUGGGUCAAAUGAGAGACAAGGAGCGAACCUUGUAAAAGGUUAAGUUUUCCAGACAUACGCUUUCGCUGUGUCGCUUCUGAGGCACGUCGGUAUAGAAGUUAUAGGAAGAACUUAAGUAGUCGGACGUUAUCAAACUACGUACUCGUUUAUAAAAGUUCCAUUUUUAUAUCCCAUUUUACAUACCUAUCAGGGACUUGAUAAGACUGUGGCGUUGAAUUUAGAUUCGAAGUGGAUAUUGAAUAGUAAAAUAUGGAGAACAUUUUACUGAGGGAAUAAAUUACAUUAACUUUAUCCUAAUCUUUCCAGUAACAUAUUUUUGUCAGUUGUCAGUACACACCAGUCUGAAGAAGUUGUGGUCGUUACCCUAACGUUAUAAAGGUCCUGAAUGCACAAAUUUAUUUUUCAAAUGUCUGAUUCAGAGCCAUAGUCCUACCAUCUCUUUUCAGAGUCAUAGUCCUAUGAAUUCUUUGAUAGGUACGUUAAAUGAAUUCGUUUUUAACAACACUAGAGUAUUGGUUGGAAUAGUCUUCAGUAGUCGACGAAGACCGGUAGACGUAGUUCGGUUGAUCACGUACGUCGAUCUUGUUAAAGUCGUCGAGGAAAGGUUACGUGUACUUGAAGUCUUGGAGGGACUUCAUAUUUCGCGUUUUCAUUGUUUUACGUCUUUUCUUCCUAAUUUUUUAAAAUCGUAUGUACUUCUUUCGUAAUACGUUCUUGUUCGUCCUUGUUUUUCUUUCGUGUAUUUACGUAAUUUUUCUCCGGGUGAGUGUACGUUAUCUUUAUUUAGUCCAUAUCGCACUUAGCCCAUAGAGAUUACACACUUGGUCCAUGUCGUUCGACAAGUUAAUAAAUAACUGACCUUUUCGCUUAAGCGUACGUAUGCCUGUACACAUCCGUUAUGUGACUAAUAGACAAUUGAGUUUAACUAAUAUUUCAUCGAAAAAUAGUCGAAGAAACUAUGUCUUGAUCGGUUUUGACAAUCGUCUGUUUUCAGCAUAACCCAAAAGUGUUACUGAUGUGCAAUUGUUCUCCUCGAACGUACUACUACGUGUUAUUUCCCGUUUGACACUUCGUCAUCUCUUUCUCCAUUGUCCAUGUUCACACAUUGUGCAUAUAAUUCUGGAUGUUUUUUUUACGUCCCGAUCUUCGGAUCUUGCUUCGUAUGAACCUCUCAGUAUGAGUAUUACAAGAAAUCAACCUUCAAUAGAGUAUAGAAUAAACUACUAAUCGUCGACGAUAUUUAAUGAUGAUUUAUGUUGUUGAGCUCUUCUUUGUCUUACGUAGACUUUUUGUCUUCUUGUAUGUGUUUAUCUUUAUACAGUGACUUUUUCCUUGUGAUUAGGUAACCAAGUGCUCUCUUUUACGGUGACUUUAAAAACCCAAACUAAUGGUGCACAUGGCGUUGUGGUGGUGCAAAAAAUAGACUCAACUUUCCUUUCUGUACUUCCUAACUUCUAAGACUAGAGUAGAGCAAUUUAAAGUAGGGUUCGAUGUUUUAUAAUCGAGUUUAAUCUCGUUGUAUUUUUAAUAUUUAUAUCUACUAUUUCUCUACUUUUGUCGUUCAGUUGUUUAUUUUCGUGGAAGUGGGGGGUUCUUUCCUACCGGAAAAGUCAUCCUCUAGGCCAGUGAAGUUGUCGUGGUGGGACAACUCAUAUAAAAGUUUCAUCUUAGUACAGUAGUAUGACUGUUUGAUCGCUAUUCCCUUUUCAUUUAUAACACCCUUAAACUCCUUAAUUUUCUGAACUCACGUUAUAAAACGCAAACUGUCAAGUUAACUUCUAUUACUUUGUCACUCAAUGUCUACUUACUACACAACGGUUAUAGCCAAUAGUCGAUAAUAUUUUGAAGGUCGGUUCUAUUGUCGUUAUUUUUAUAGUCUUGACUACGGUGUUCGUGUGAUUGAUACUUUCACGUCGUUUACCAAACCGAUUUGUGGUAAUCUCUAAUUGGUUUGUCUAAAGGGAUCGAGUGGAGACCGAGUAUAUGCGACGGGCUACAUAAAACACGUUAAGGGAGUUCAUAUUCUCAACUCUACCAUCCUCUGUUGUUGAAUUGUAAUAGACCUCCAACAUGCAAGUGCGGUGGUUGUAUGCGGAGUUGUUGUCAGUAGAUUUUAUAACUUAACUCUGUACCGUUCUAGUGUUAUUUUUAAUUUGUUAUAUGUAUUUACAUUAUCUCUUCUUCUUUUUAUCUAUUAAAGAUUACGGGUUCCUAAUGUUAUGUUUGUGUUUUUCUGGAUUGACUUUAGUCGAUUGGAGUAAAUUCCAGUUUCAUGGGCAGAAUAGUGACGUUUAUCAACAUCGACUGGGGUAUCAAAGUGUUCGGCUUUCGGCGGCAUGGACUCUGUCUUCGUGAAUUUUCAGUAUUCCGGUUUUAUACUGAUCGUUGUAAACGUUACAUUCAGUGUUUUUAUAUGCACGGUCUCGGAACAGUCGGUAGUAAAAAGCGUAGCUCAUUCGGUCCGACUUCGUUCUUGUCUCUUUAUCAUUCACAAGGGGAGUUUUCUUUUUUUUCCUUUCUCUUUUUUCCACUUGCGUUUUAGAAAAAUUCCUUUUCCUUUGGUGUUCGUGAAUGCAGUUCCACUGUCGGUUACCAUCGGGAAGUCCGUGGCGUUGUUGUUGUUAUCAGUGGACCAUUAAAAACAGAUAAUUGUAUGUUGCGUUGACCUUUAACAUCUAGAUUAUUCGUCUUAGAGUUCAUUACCUAUGUAUGGCGUUGACAGUUUUAAAAAUGACGAGGCAAUUAACAUCGGAAGUGUAAACAAACAGGAAAAUAUAUAACUUGUCAUGGCAGUCCCAAGAAACAUACCGGUCAUUUCAUAGACUUUCUUAUUCUUUUUAAAACAAUACAUGCCUGUUGAUGGUUUGGAAGUCGGUUUGUGUGUCUCUUUUUACUAAUGGCUCGGUUUUCUUGAUGUUCAUGACGUGGUCGAUGUCUUUCGGGUUGAUAUGGUUACUUUCAUCGCUGGGGUAAAUUCGCGUGGAAAAGGUGUUUUCUGUUACUUUACUUCAGUGUUCUCUUCCUAUAUUCGUGCUAUUCGGUGACCAAUUUAGUCUUUCUUCGUGUAUGGACGUUUCCUCAAAGAAGUGGCCAUAGGAGGCUAUAUGACCGGUAAUUAUUUGGGGUAAGUCAUAACUAAGGUUGUCGUCAUUGGACCUGUAGUAAUUAAUUGAGAAUAUACGUGUGUGCACGGUUGAAGUACGUUAUUGUAAAGUUUUUUCCUAUGUUCUUCGGGCAGUCUGUUUCUACAGUUUUAAAAAGGUUUAUAAUAAACAUAUAAGAUAGAUUUGUUCAUGUUGAUUUUCCCUCUUUAUUUUAUCCUUUAGAUUGAUCAUGGAUUGGUCGUUUCAACAUACCAUUUCGUGUUUCUCUCUACUGUCGUUGAGUGGUUGUACCAUGGUAUUGGUAGUCGUUGAAACGUAGGUCGGUAGUUUUUACCACUGAAGACUAGGAACACCUGGACCUUAUUUAGUACCGUUGCUUAAUAAACAUCGAGUUGUACACGUACGAGUCUCCACAUAUCUUACUCCUUUGAGUGAUAGAACGAAAGGGGCCAGUAUGAUCUAAGUAGUUACCGUUCUCUUACUGGUGAUUAAUUCUACGGUAGUCGUCCCUGGAUGUUCGUGCAAAUGUCUCGGUAAAGUUAUACUUUUUUUAUUGUUUCCUUUGAUAGUAUAUUUCCUUGUAUAUUAGUAAAGAACUUAGUUUGGACUAGUGGCUAAAACUCUCCUUGUUGUAGUGGUUGUUGUUAUAGUUUAUAACUCUGGCCCUGAGAAGAUGGUGGAGAUUACUGGACGUAUAGUUUUAAAGAUUCUGGUGUCUCCUUUUGAUUUUCCUGUUUGACUAAAUCCUUUGUAAAAGUCUAUACUAUUUUGUAUGGAGGUAUACAUACAAAAGGAAAAGGAGCAAUUCCGAAACCUUGACUUCGCUAACGAAUAUCAGUGACUAUCGACAGUCCUUUGGGGUUUUUUUCUCCGAUGUCAGUUAGUACUUUAUUUAGUAUUUUUCUUGUGUUUCCUUCGAGAUAAUUUAAAAUCGUUCUUAUAUAAAAAUUUUUCAUUUUUAUUACAUGAGAUAAAUUGAAUAAUAACUCUAUUAACCACUUUGAAAAGGGUCUUUUUCAAAAUGAGGUAACAUCAAGUAUCGAUUUUGAAGCAAUGUUAAAAUCGAUUUAACGUGCUAACGUGCUAAAUACACUGAUUCAACGAACUUAUCAGUAAAAGAUUAGAUGUGUAGUCGUAGUUGGAGUUCUAUGGAUUUAUCGAAUUUUUAUAAAGUAAAGAAUUUUGACUAUAUCGUAGGACGAGUACUAUACUAUUUUGAUUUCGAUUAUAUAAAGUAAAGAAUUUUGACUAUAUCGUAGGACGAGUACUAUACUAUUUUGAUUUCGAUUAUAGGUCUUUGAAACCGAGAACUGUUCUUCGUUCUAAGAGUGUAAUAAAGAGAAAGAUUGUCUUCUGAAGUUAUGUAUAACUUUAGUAGUGAGUUGGUGUUAGAACCAUUUAAGAUCACACAAGAAAAAGUAAGAACAAAUAUUGGUUAGAAGUCGUCGUCUUUAUUGACAAAAUGAAUCUCAUUCUUUGUAAUGAAAGAAGACUGCUGAGUGAUUAUGGUGUAAAAUUAUCCGUGUAUAGUCCCAAAUUUAAUAGACUGGAUUCUAUUACGGUACGAUAUUAGGUCGAUUUUAUAAUGUUACAUGUUUCCCAUUUUAGCAAUCGGACAUGUUGUUCUUUUGAGUUUAUUGAAUUAUCUAGAUCUAAUGUACAAACAUUUAAGAUUGUUCUUAAAUAUUCGUUAUCGUAUGGUCAUUGUUAAUACUGUUCUUUUUGCCGUUUCCGUUACGAUGGUGGUAGUAUGGUAGGAAGAAAUUAUGGGAUGUAACCUUUCCAGCUUGUACAACUUAUUGAGUUCUUGCUAAUUUUUAUCAUAUCGUCAAUGUUUUUUUUUCCAGGAACACGUAUAUUGAUCGUUAUUUAUCAUUUUCGACUACAUGACAGACAUUCUCUGUUACGUGCGCUAGUCUUGUGAUUCCUGGCUUUAAUAUCACAUUUAGGUAAAUAAAUUAGAACUUUUAACUUUCGUGUCUUUUUACUACUUUUUUGAUCCCGUGUAUGUCUUUAGUUUAUCUGGUAGGAAUAUUAAAGUAUUCGUUUAGUAUGAAAGCCUCGUGAAUGAGGAUUUGCACAAUGUUAAAUCAUUAGUGUAUUUAUUGUCGACUCUUAGUUGUUGCGUCUUUUUAUCAUACUUUCUCUAUGUUUAUGCAGAAACGUGAUCUGUUUGAACCUUUUAUCUAUUUUGAUAUUUUCUCAUGUCUGUGUGUGUAAAAUCUAUCAUCUUUACGUAUUCUGACUGUGUUUCUACUCGUUCACUUGUAAUGGAGACAGAAUUACGGAUUAUGAUCUCUAUAUUGGCGUCGAUAUUAUUCCUACUAUUCUCAGUCUAGAACCGUUCGAAGGGUGUCCUUUUGGACAACAUAAUUCUCUCUCUCAGUUCACUAUCCUUUCUCGUUUUUGCAAGUUCGACUAGUUAUUGGUGUCACUCCGUUCUACCUCUUUGUUUGGUUCUUCGAAGAAGGAAAGAAUGCUCCUAUAGAUAAUCGGGGUUCACGUAAGGCAGAUGAGUUAUUCAGAAGUAGUAGGGGUGUUUAUGGGAAAAGAUUUAACCAGAAAUCGUUUAAACGAUAGGGAAAGUGGACGUUCCUUUAAGUACGUAUAUUUAUUGUUGACAAUCGUAAUUUUGAGUAGAUUGUCAGCGUCAUUAUCUUCCGUGAACGGGGAGGUAUAAGGUCAUUUCGUCUUAUUAACACUAGGGAUCAGUAACGCCAUUCGACGAGAACAGGUUAAGGUUUUGGUCCUCAUUGGUGACGUGUUCAUUUUUUUUCCAUAAUGUAGUACCAGCCCCUUUUUCUUUGAUUGUCCUUUAUGACUUUUGAAGUCUAACUUUAAGAUAUUGAUAGCUUUCUUUGGAUUAAACGAUUUAAGCGUUACAUUCCUAUCAAAUGAUUCGUAUACCUCUGUCUUACAUAGUAAAUAGUUUUUCUUCAAAUAACGCAAGUAGAAGUAAACCGUAAUUAACAGUCGUCUAUACGAUCUCUUCAAUCUGUCGAAUUCCGUCGAACGGGAGGUAUAUAUCUGUAUAUAGAACUAUUUUGUAAUGAGAGUAAUUCUCCUUUAAAGUGGAUCCAACGUUCUCGGAUUUAAUGUUCACUUUUCAUUUAAUGAUAUCUGCAGUUCACUUGAUUGUCUAAAUAACUUUAGGGAGAUAUCAUACUAAAAUGUAAAAGGGACAAUCGUAGUCAGGGACCCCAAUUAAAACUCAACUAUUUAAUGGUAUUUCUAUUUAAGUAAGGAAUUUUUAACGUGAUCAUUCGUGUUUUAAUUAGAGAUAUAAGACUUUGUGUCUUAGUCGAUCUAAUUAGAUGAUCAUCUAACCAACCCUCCCCUGGGAUGCUUCAAUUAGACUUUUUUUUUACUUUUUUUACCCUUCCUCUACUUACUAUAUUUGCACUAAUAGUGUUCGUUGUGUACCAACUUCUGCGUCGUAAAUUGAUAACGUACUUUUAUUUAUCGAUAGAACAAAUCAAAUCAUGGACCACCGAGGGCACAAAGACUUUGUACAGAAAGGGGUCGGAGAAACUUUUCUUUACGUCGGAUUCUUUCCUUUUCUAUCGUAUCGUCUUGUAAACUUUUCAUCAGUAUUUGAUCAGAGUUUUAUUUAAUUUACAUAAGAUAAAAAAUGAGUAAAAUAUAUUAAAGGAAACAGUUUUAGGAUUGAUUGAUUUGAAUAUGAUUAAUUGGAUCACCUAUUAUGAAAAUCCUAAUAAUUUUAUUUUUAUUUUUUAAUCUUUGAAACGAACUCAUCGCGCGGCCUCUAUACAGUGGUUAUUAAAUAUACAUUUUUCAAGCAGUUUUGAUUUGACCACAUGGUCUCAUUAAACAAAGAUCAAUUUGUGAUCAAAUUAAAGGCUCAAUUAAUUAUACGCAACAACUCUAAAAAUUAUUGGACCACAACAUGAUGGUAGAGUACGUAACAAGCAAAACUAAAUUUUCUUAAUCUAAGAAUCACAUGGGAACAGUACUCUAGCAUCUUCUAUUGACUUAUUAUGUAGGCUUAGAUGUUUCCCAACUUAAAUAUUAAACCCCCGAAAAAAAAAAAAAAAAAACUCAAACUGCUGAUGAAUGUCAACUGUCCUUGUCCCGUACGAAAGUCAAUGGUGUGCAACAAGCAAUGGAGUAAUGGAGUUAGGGGAUGUCAUUGGGUAUGGAUACCUGAAAUAUUAUCCGAAUCCGAACCCGAACGGAACAGGUUUAUCCGAGCUAAACGGGUAUAGAUUCGGUUAUGAAUAUAGAAAAUAAAAAUCCGACGGAUAUGAAUACAGGUAUGGAUUUUGUAUUUAUCCGAACCGAAUCCGAACUCGAACCCGAAUAAAUUAUAUAUACACAUAAUUUAUUUUUAUUUAUUUAUAUAAUAUAUAAAAUAUGUAAUAAUUUUUAUCCUUUAAAUCUUUAUUCAACGGUAUGGAUUUUUAAAAUCAGCCGAGUUUGGGUCCAGGUUCGGGUUUCUGGUUUUUAGUUGGGUACGGAUAUGGAUAUAGAUUUUUAAAAUCCGCCGGGUUCGCGUCCGGAUACGGAUCUUAAUUUGAUUUUCGGAUUCGAGUUCGGAAUUUUAAAAACCCGAUACAAAUCCGGCCUUUUGACAUCACUAGCUAAAUGGAGUUCACUACUUUAAUGGCACGGAUUUUCUGCAACUCUGUUGAUUCUUCUAAAUAAGUAACUAUGCUAGUUUAUUAGUCGUUUAAAAGGUUUGAGUCCAUGGUUUCAGAUGAUGAGACUAAGCAAUGUGUAGAAAUUCUUUACAUAUUAAUUAUAGGAGAAAUGAUUCGGUACUUUUUUUAAAAAAAAAUAAAAAAGAUCUUAACCGUUGAUUAAUAGAGGGUAAAAAUGUAACUUUAAUACUUAGCAGGUAAAAGGAUUAUUUUAUUCAAGGUUAGUUUGGUAAUUAAAUAAUACAAUAUUUAAAGAAUCUUUUAAUUGAGGUCCUAAAUUUAUGCAUUAAUUAGUACUAAUUUAGGAAAUUAAUUGAUUAACCAAAUUUAUGAAAUUAUUAGGUAUUAAUUUAGGAAUCUACUUUAAAUGUUUUAGUGUUUCUCAAAUUAUGCAUUAAUUUAAAUUAUAGAAAUUUUAGAAAUAGUUUUAUUUCUAAAUACGAUGAAUUUAAAUUUUAAAAAUUAAAUACUUAGAAUUUAAAAGUGAAAUUUAAAUUAGAGAAAUUUCAUAUUACUAUUUAAAAACUAAAUUUUUACCAAGAUUUAAAAUACAGUUUAUUCGCAUCAGUUUAAAACGUAAUGCAUAAAAAACUUAGAGAGUAAGAUUUCUACAACUAGAUUUCUCUAGAGGAAUUUUAUAUUACUAUUUAAAUUUUAAAUUCAAUGAUUUAAAAACUAGAUUGAACCGAUUGAUUUGACUGAUCAGACUUUGACCUAUUCUAUCAAGAAUCUGAUUUUAACCUAUUGAACCGAAUAACAUUAAGAACAAUUUGGAACCGGUAAAAAUAAUAAAUAUUUUAAACAGAAUAAUAAUUUAACUAUUAGAGCUAAUAAAUAUUUUAAAUAUAAUUUUAAACAUAUAAAUUAAAAAGAUUAGAAUUAUUGGUGAGAAAAAAAAUAGUUAGGAAUUUGAAUUCGANNNNNNNNNNNNNNNNNNNNNNNGUGUGUGUGUGUGUGUGUGUGUGUGUGUGUGUGUGUGUGUGUGUGUGUGUGUGUGGUUAUAAUGGUGGAUCGUGGAGAGGGUUGGUUUCGUCGCAAACCGGCAACCAAAUCGGAUGAAACGAAAUGAUAGAUUCGAUGCCCCAAUCGUGCUGAACGCGUUGGCGCAAUCUGAUCGAAAAUCCGAUAUACAGAUCUCUGAGAACCACGUAAAGUUCGCUGAGGGGUCGAAGUUGGCAAAAUGGAAAAUCUAUGAAAAGCCCAAUAUUUUAUGUAAUACACUGGACCCUUGCAAAUUGCGAGGUUCGAGUGAUUGGAUGUGUUUCGAGCUUUUCCAUACUUGGUGGAGGGUUGUAGAAUGUUUUCCGACCUAAUAAGUUCGAAAACCUGAGUUCUGGACGAGUCCUGAGAGUUUUUGCUCUCGGGGACCAGUCCCUGAAAGGAGAGACCGGUCCCCCAGUGAGCAGUGUUGCACAGCCGGCGAGGCAACCGAUCCCGCGCAGGGAGAGACCGGUUCCCGAACGAUGGUUUUUCGGGUUCGACACGAGAGACCGGUCCCUCUAGGCGAAAAUUGCCCAGACCAGGCUGAUGCAAUAUUGGAUUUUUGAGGGGCCUCGUUGGAUUUUGUUACACUAGAGGGCAUAUAUGCCUACUUCCUCUUCUCUUCUCCCUCAUUCCACCAUUCCCUUUGCUCCUAGAGAGAGAGGAAGAAGAAGGAGAGGAAGAAGAAGAAGGAGAGAGCUUGUUGAAGGCUUGGAACUUCACCCACACCCUCCCUUCUUCCUUUUGGUGGCUUGGAGCUUGGAUUUGGAGCAUUGUUGAGGAAAGAUCUUGGAACCUUGAGGGUUUUGAACCUUGAUUAAAGCUUCUAAGAGGUAAGCAACUUGUUUUUUCUCCAAGAUUUCUUGGUUUGAAGGUUUUUAGUAGAUGGAACCCUAGAAUGGAAAUUUAGGGUUGAUUUUGGGGUUUUUUUAUUUAGGGCUUUUGAGGCUAAAUUUCUUGGAUUAGAACCUUCCUUUGGGUUAGAUUGGAAGGAUCCUAGCCUUCUUUUGGAGCUUGAGGAAGAUUUUUUACUCCCUAGGUGAGUUUUGCCCUUUUCUUGAGAUUGUUAAUGUUUGAGCCUAGAGUUGCUCGUAACGCUUGUGUAUCUCUUCGCUCAUUACUUUUAGGGUAUUUUGAGACUUGUGGACAACUCCGUUCGGCGAAACGAAGGACACCGCGACGGUUCGGUGGGUUUGACCUAGCCUUGCAUAUGAGAAAUUCUCAUAUCCCAUGUUUUAUGCUUGUAGAGUAAAAAUUCAUGCAUUUCCAUGAUAAAUGUAUUUAUUGUGAAUUUUAGGAUGCUUAACAUACCUAUAUUAUGUGUAAGAAAUUUCGGGCCCCUAUAUAGUAGAGAGCUACCUUGUGGGACUUGUACGUGAUUGGCAUCCUAUUGGGACUUGGAAUUAUAUUUCCUAUUGUGAAAAUGAGCAUUACCUUCAUGCAUUUUAAACUAUUCCUACUUGAGACUUAAGAGACCUUAGUAAGCCAUAAAGAGGCUCGGGGACAUGUACUACUCGCGAAUAAUUGGGCUAAUGUAAUAGAGGGGCAUUGAGCUCGGGUUAAAUGAGAACCUAGUGCUAAUGUCAUGAAUGGAACAUAGGCUAUGAAAUGUGUUAACUUAUAACAAGCUUGAGUGUCAUAAAGAGGCACUAAGCCUAGUGAGUGUUGGAACAUCCCUUUGAGAUGCUAGUGACUAUUACCAUCAUAGAGACAUGAUGAUUGGGUACUUGAGACGAUGAUUGCGCUUGUUUGCCAUUUGUGCUCAUUCGCACAUGCUUGUGAGGGUCGCUCCCUACAAGCUGGCACUCCGGAGUUGGCCUAUGCGAUUUAUGUUCGCUCGUGCGGUAUCGAGAAACCUACGGGAUCGGGAGGGAUAGACUCAUUCCUAGAGUGGGAAUGCUGGAGCUACCACCGACACUUAGGUGGCACAAGCUGGACUGCAAUAUGUAGGUCCUAGAACAUGUUGGAAACAGUGACAUUUAAUCGAGAGAUGAUAAUCAUUACUAGAUAGGCUUAGUAGUUGGAUUACCUUGACAUGCUUAGAGCAUGGUGUUGGGACUUGUAGUAUACAUGAUAGUCUUAUUCGUUGCAUCACAGUAUACUUUGCUACCAUGAUAGAGCAUAUUCAUCAUACAUUGACAUAGCGAUUCAUGAUACCUACUUGCUCGUUAUAUUGGGACAUAUUAGUCAUGCUUGGACAUACUUCAUUUUGAGAAAGUAGAUGUACGAUACAUUUGACAUCAUGUUACUUGCGACAUAGUAGUUUAGCAAUUUAAUCAUGCUUCCUUAUAUGUAAACCAUUUAUUAUUAUUGUUUCCUUGUGGACUUACCCUUUUCUUUUGGGGCCUAGUGGUGCAUUGAGCUGAGGUCAGUAAUUGCCCACUGGGAACUAUAAAUUAUAGUUCUCACGCCCUCUUUUUCUUGAUGUUAUUUCAGAGCCUUCGGCACCGGUGGAGGCGCGGGAUCGUGGCAAAGGAGUCGCGUAGCUAGCUAGCUGGGAGCUACUUGUGAGCAUAGAUGGUUUAUCUUUUUGUUUGAGAGUGUGUGUGGGAGAUUUUGAGAACCAUGUAUAGAGAGACCACCUGUAUACUCUUUAUUGUUUAGUUCUUGUAUUUGGGAUUUUCUUUGUACUACUCUAUGCCUGUAUUUGUAGUUUCAGUUUCAUGUCUACUCUUCUGUGUAGAACUUAGUUAUUUACUUCGCUCUGAUAUCGUUAAAUUCUUUUGCUUCUUAUUUUAUUUCCGCUAUUGUUGUAGACGCCUUAUAUGUGUAGACAUAUGGCGGGUCUGGGCGCGCUACCGGGAGAGCCUCUGCCGGUCCCGAGGCGUUACAUUUUAUAUACCAUUUUGCGCGAUUUCGAACAUUGAGGUGCUUACGCGUGAAAUGCACGCGCUGCGGGGGACUGGAUUGAAAAUAGUCAGCUUCGGAAGGUUUCUCUGCGAUUAUUACACCUUAUAUAAAUAUAGGUGUUAGGGUUUCAUGUAGGAAACCCUAACCCUAGCUAACCUACUUCCUCCAGCUGCGCCCCUGUAGCCUCCACCACCUUCCAGCACCCCGCCGCACGCACUCCGGCCGCCGACGACCUUCUACGGCCACCAACAACCUUCUCUGGCCACCGGAGAGGGCUAUCAUUGCCUUCUCCCUCCGCCUUGCCUCCACCACCUCAACCGUCUACGGCCACCAACAACCUUCUCUGGCCACCGGAGAGGGCUAUCAUUGCCUUCUCCCUCCGCCUUGCCUCCACCACCUCAACCGACAACCGCAGGGAAACACCCACACGCAUCGAACCUUCAUUCCCUCGGCCGAGACCUACUCCCUGGCACCGACUCCACCGGCCCCCGCCGCCCGCACGCGCCGCUGGCGCCGCCUGAGUCAUUCACGACCACCCGCAGCAGCUCGGGCCGAGCUCGAGUUAGCUCGCGGCCAUGAGCUACUGCCAUUUUGAGGCGAGCUGCCCUGCCCUCCUAGGUCUCCGGCGACCCUCCACUCGUUGCUGCCACCGCCAUCCCCACGGGCUCCUGACCACCGCCCAGCUCCCUACGACCGCCUAGACUUAACUCGGGCCGAGCCUGGGCCAGCACUAUCUCCGCGCGCCACGGCCGCCCACCGACGGGCGAGCCGCUCUCCCUCGGCCUCCGGUGACCGAUCACCGUCGCCCCGGCUCUCCCCCGGCCGCCGUGCUCCUCGAACCCGAACACUAGCCAUGCGGGCUCGUGCCUUGCCACCACGCCACCGACCGCCUCCCGCCAUUGGCCAAUGCGAGUCCCAACCCCCACUGACCAGCCGCACCCGCCUCUGGCCGGCCCGCCCGCCGCCUAGCCGCCGCCGGCCGUCCCGUGCCUUACUUUGCUCCAGUAAGGCAGUUUAUGGUUUCUGUACACUAUUUCGGGUUCCAGUCGCCUUUCCGGCGAUUCGAGGACACCCCGGCACUCUCGGAAGUGAGCACGAUGAUCCCAGAUCUGUGUUGAACAUCGUGCUCACCGUUGGGGUCAACAAUGCCCCGGUUUGCGUGUUAGACGCGAUGUAGGCGCUGUGUGCGCUGUUUUGCUGAAAUUCGCGUCGCUCACGCACUUGCCACAGUGGCCGGCCGUGCUACGAAGUGUGAGCACAGUCUCCGGUACAUCGAGACCUGUCAGCGGGUGUCUCGGCCAGGCUAGAAGAUCCUUGGUUUGCAUUGUCGGGCCAUAAAACUCCAAAAAUCACAUAAAAUAAUGUGAUUUUAUGUAGUCGCGGGGGUUUUUAUGCAAUUGUAUGUUUUGUGGUUACUGUUGGCAGCGUGUGUGGGCAUCGGGUGACCUCUAGACUUGUUGUCCAAGGCCCAGGCUUUUUCAGAAAUCGAAUGUUGAUUUUCAGUGAGUUUUUCGGUGAAAUCUGCCGACGAAACGCGAUUUCGAUUGGGAAUUCUUCCGACGAUGCCUCACGGUAGAUUGUGUUGUCGUUGAGCCUUGUUGGCUGGUCACCCGCAUCGUUUCAAGGGUUCGAAAAUGGCAGGUGAGCGACGGCGGGUUCCGGUGUCGAAUUGGACACUUUUGGGACCCGGAUCGGAAUGAUUAUCCGACGAUAAUCGUUUCAAAGUGAGGAGGUGUGUUCACUGCCAAGUCACACAAAAAGUUGAGUUAGUGGCAGCGGGUGACUCGUAGCAUGAGUCGGUGAGUUCCGGGACAGUUCGUGGGUCCCGGCGGAGUCCUAGUGCGAUUUUCGAGACUUCCAACGUAUUACGGCAAUCGGUUUGGGAAACCGAUUCCCGUGGGUUUACAUGUGGGGAUUGUGAGUUAGUGGUUCAUUUUUGUAGAUGCUAACCCGAUGAAUCCUUCAUAGGUCCAGUUGAUACUUCCUCCAUAGUCGGAAGGCCAGUACCAUAUACGUACAGGGGGGUACUUCGACCUGAUGUCGGUAAAAUGGUGCACGCUCAGUGACAUUUCCUUCACGCUUUUCUUGUGUUUAUCUUGCAUAUUAUAUGUUGAGCCUAGCACCUAUACCAUAUCUCUUUAUUGCUCUACUUAGUUGGUUGUAUACCCAGUAUUAUAUUUUAGAAGUAAAGCGGUUUUGUGAUUAUUUAUGAGAUUGAUGACCUAGUCGGUCAGUACGUUACAUCUCGUAUAUGUGACCUAUUCGGUCGGUUUACUACAUCUGUUAUUGUGACCUACUUGGUCGGUUAGAUUACUUGGUGACCUAUACGGUCGGUAUACCCUGAGGGGUAGGAUUGUGGGCUAGUUGCCGACGGUUGACUAUUGCGCAUAUCAGCAUUGAUCGCCCGAUACUCGUACGCAUUUCACGAACACCAGCGGUCUGAUCUACCGCAAGAGAGUAUUUUUUUUUUCCGGAAAUGUGGUUGGAGGUGCCAACCCAUGAGCCCAUAGGCUACCUUGGGUUAUAUGCAAGUAGAGUGAUAGCAGCACAAGCUUGAGGUUUGCGGUGCAAACCAAAAGGGCACAGCUUGAAGUCUGCGGUGCGGACCAACAGAGCACAGGUUUCAAAUUGGGUAUUUUUAGACUUGUGGUCCGGUUGAUACAUACAUACAGUUGCAGUAGUUGUUCAUAUAUAUAUAUAUAUAUAUCGUUCGUUUAUUAUCGUUGCUACUGUACUAUCCUUACCCAUGCCUUUAUUUAUUCUCCUUGACUGGUGAGUACCCCUCGCCUUCGUCGACUUGCGGUACCUACUGGGAGGGGAGACAUGUGUACAUGUUCUCACCCCCCACCCCCAUUACAGGUGACGUCGCGGGUCCUAGUGGGAUGGUUUAUGAGGAGCGCACUUAGCGAUUCGAUAGAGCUUUCGGACCCGUCUCUUCGGUUUAAUUCUUAAACUCAGAUUCUUUUAAAUAAAUGAUUUAGUAAUUAUGGUUCAGUGAUCUAUUACUUUUGGAUUCAUCUGGUUUUAUGAAUGUAAUAAAAGAUUUAUGAUUCUUGCAAAAAUGAAAAUAAUUUUCUUCCCCUCGUGGCAGCGAGUUUUAAAGAAAAAGGGUUUUCGUGUGGGAAACAGUUUUAGAAAGAUUUUCUUGGUUUUCAUGACCUAGUGUUUUAAAACGAGUUUACGGAAAGGAAACAUUUUAACUGAUAGAUGUGGAUUUAUGGAUAAUUUAUGAUAAUAUAACUGUGGAUGUGAAUGGUGUAUGAAUAUGUGGAUGUUCAUAUGUGUGGUUGUAUUUUGUAUCGUGAAUCUUGUAUCUUGUACUUGUGCGACGCCGUGCAAAUACAGGGGAGACUCUGUCCGUGUGAACAGUGGACUCCCUAUAUUUGUGGCGGUUCUGGCAUACCCUGGGGGUCAGAUUUUUCAAAAAAAAAGAAAAUUUGGGCUCUUCCGCAUCUCUUUUAAAUCAAAAAAAGGGACCCCGGGGCGUGACACAAAAACACAAAAACGUGGCAACAAAGUUUGCAAGCCGAAGUAAGACAGCAUUAUGAGGAAGCAAAAGGGAUGAAACCGAAUGUGUGGAAACGACCUUAUGAGCAACAACUCCCCUUUCGACCCAUGAAGAAUGAUCAUGAGGCAGGUGGUUCUACACCUGUCCCUUGGUUGAAAUCCAAAAUAGAAUAGCCACUCCCGGCCGAACCUGAGAAGAAAGCAACUCGAAAGGAGUUGGAGGAAAAAAUAGCCUCUUUGAAGACUAUAAUCAAACAAGACCGACGGCAUCCUAAGAGGAGAGAGGCACGCAUAGAGAGCGAUUCCUCAGCCGAAACGGCAAAGGAAUCAGAAGAGAAAAAGCAAAAGAUAAAAGAAAAUUUGGCUGGUGAAGGACAAGCCGAUGUGAACAUAGUGUACACACUGCCUCAGUCAUUCAAGAUAGAGUCCGUUGAAUUUGAAGAGACGGCAUAUGAUGGAGAAGAGCUUACAGUGGCUCAACUCCAGUUAGAGGACGCUAAGCCAGCCGAUUCGAUGGCUUUUGAAAAACCAUCAAUCAUGCAGACAAGAUUCGUUAGGCCAUUGUUCAUAAGGGUGCUAAUAGAAGGACGGCUAGUAGGCCGAGUGAUGGUAGAUGGAGGAGUAAUGGUCAAUGUUAUGCCUACUUUUUCUUCAAGAAGCUGGGCAAGAGUGAAGAUGAACUGAAGCCUACCAACACAAUCAUGACCGACUUCACUGGUAGUGGUCAACAAACAAGAGGUACACUUACGACCGAGCUCACGAUAGGAUCUAACACCUUGCGAACAGCCUUUUUUGUAGUGGAUGCAGAUAGCCACUACAACCUAUUGCUUGGGCAUGAUUGGAUUCAUGCAAAUGAAUGCGUACCUUCAACGCUCCACAAAAAAUUAUUUCAAUGGAUUGGAGACAGAGUGGAGGAAAUUAGGGCCGAAGGCCGCCCCCAAAUGGUGAAUGUGAACUCAGAAGGAAUCGGUCAUAUCAAUUGGGGCCGAUACAGAUCCGGAUCAAAUUUUCUUUGUGCGGGUAACCGAGGAAGGAGUUCAACUAAUACUCGUGAAAGAUGAGGAAGCGAUGGUGGCGGCAGAGGAGCCACCAAGUUGGUUAAAAUGGAAUGCCAAAAGUUAGGAACCGGAGCUUUAGAAAAGCUACGGCAGAAUGAGCCGACCGAAGAAGUCGGCUAUUGCACUAAAUCAGCUUAUCAAGCCGAUGAAAUAGUAUACAUCAAAAUGGCCGAGUUGACUGAAGAGAAUUCUCUUAGAAAAUCAGCCGGGAGGGCCAAUAAAGAAGUAUUUAAUGAAUCGUCAAAUGUGAUAGCCAAAUUUAGUGAAAACGGCUUCAAAAUCCAUAACGUUAUGGAGGAAUCACCAAUCAAAGUCGGCGACAAGAAGUUACAGACCCAAGAUCCAUUAAUAGAAGUAAAUUUGGGGUCGGAUGAUGACAAACGGCCGAUGUACGUCAGUGCUAAACUUUCAGCUCAACAACAGGAGAAGUUGACGAACUUGCUGAUGAAGCAUAAAGACUACUUCGCCUGGAGUUACGAGAAGAUGUCGGGUUUGAGCCGAGAAAUUGUAGAGCAUAAGCUCCCUAUUAAAAAAGGGCAUAGGCCUUACAAAUAACCGGCUCGUAAAUUUAAGCCGAGUAUUGAACUCUAAAUUAAAAAUGAAAUUAAAAAUUUGCUAAAGGCCGGCUUUAUUAGAGCGGCCCGUUAUGUUGAUUGGGUAUUUAACAUAGUUCUAGUACAAAAAAAAGAAUGACAAACUUAGAGUUUGUAUUGAUUUUAGAAACUUAAAUAUGACUACGCUUAAAGAUGAAUAUCCGAUGCCCAUAGCCGGUAUGUUAGUAGAUUCGGCAGCCGAGCAUAAAAUUCUAUCCUUUAUGGAUGGACAUGCAGGCUAUAAUCGAAUUUUUAUUGCCGAAGAAAAUGUAGCUAAAAUGGCUUUUAGGUGCCCAUGAUCUAUUGGGACCUUCGAAUGGAUAGUAAUGUCGUUCGGCUUAAAAAAUGCAGGAGCUACUUACCAAAGACCAAUGAAUUUUAUUUUUCACUAUUUGAUCGGCAAAAUAUUGGAAGUUUGCAUCAAUGACAUCAUUAUAAAGUCAAAAUCACAAGCUGAUCAUUGAGCAGAUUUUGAACUUGCCUUUGAAAGAAUGAGAAAAUAUAAUUUAAAAAUGAAUCCAUUAAAGUGUGCUUUUGGAGUAUCAGCGAAAAAUUUCCUCAGAUUCCUAGUACACAAAAAGGGGAUUGAGAUUGAUAAAAACAAGGUGAAAGCAAUAAUGGAAUUACUGCAGCCAAAAAAUAAAAAGGAGUUACAAAGUUUAUUAGAAAAAAUCAAUUAUUUGCGUCAUUUUAUUUCAAAUUUAGCCAGCAGAAUAGGAGUUUUUUUACUCCAUUAUUUCGGCUGAAAAAUCAGGAAGAUUCAUUUGGACAGAGGAACAGCAAGAAACGUUCGAAAACAUAAAAAGGUAUUUAGCGAAUCCUCCAGUUCUCAUGUCUUCUCGUCAAGGUCAGCCGAUGAAGUUAUAUAUAUCGACUGCAGAAGAAAAUUUAGGAUGUUUAUUGGCCCAGGAAAAUUAUAAAAAAGAAGAACAAGCUAUCUAUUAUCUCAGCGUUACGCAUGUACUAAAUUGAGAUAUUAUAUUCUACCAAUGGAAGUGUCAGUGGUCUGUAAAACUGAUAUGGUAAAAUAUAUGUUAUCAAGAGUGAGGCUACUAUACUAUCGGAAGCACGGAGCCUUCCGUGCUUCCAGCUCGUUUUCGAUGUUGCGACUUUCGAAUCGUCGAUCGGCUCCAUUAACUUGAUCUAGAGUAUUUGGAGUACCUAGAAAAUAAAUUUUAUUAUUUUUCUAUAUCAUUUGUCUAGUGAUCAAAUGGGCUCAAAAUCAACAAAUUUCAAUGGCCGUAGUGAGCCGUUUGCAAGUUUAACGGUGUAGAAAUAUCCAAAUCACAUGAAAUUUUGAUAGAAAAUUCUUUAUACUAUAUAAAACAAGAUCAAUAUCUUUGAUUUAAAAUUUUAAUGUCAUAUUAUUACAUUUUGUAAGAUUUUUAUUUUCAGCCGUUGAUUUUGAGCCCCUUCGUUCACUAGGCAAAUAAUAUCAUAAAAUCAUAAAAUUUAUUUUCUAGGUACUUCAAAUACUCUAGAUCAAGUUUAACGGAGCCGAUCGACGAUUCGAAAGUCACAACAUCGAAAACGAGCUGGAAGCACGGAAGGCUCCGUGCUUCCGAUAGCAUAGUAGCCUCACUCUGUUAUCAAAACUUGUUUUGAGAGGACGAAUCGGGCAAUGGAUGUUAGCAUUGUCUGAAUUUUCUCUUAGUUAUGUUCUGGCAAAAGCCGUCAAGAGGCAAACGAUAGCCGAUUUCUUGGCUGAUCAUCCUUAUGUCAAGGUUAAAGAGCCGAAACAAAAUCUAAUCGGUUGUCAAUCUUGGACACUUUAUUUCGAGGUUCGAAAACAGCUGAGUCCGCGAGAGCCAGAGUAGUUAUACAAUCUCCCGAAGGCUAUAUUCAUCAGUUCGCUUUUGUAUUAGAUUUCGGCUACUCUAACAAUUAAACCGAAUAUGAGGCCUUAAUAAUUGGCCUUGAAAUUCUACAAGAAUUAGAGGUAUGCUCACUCAAAGUUAUCGGCGAUUCACAAUUAAUGAUCAAAUAAGUAAAUGGAAAAUACCGAUGUGAAAAUCGAAACUUGCAGAAUUACUUGAAGAGAACAAUAGAAUUAUUUCGCAAUUUUGGAGAAAUUAAGUUUGUACACCUAACAAGAGAAGAGAAUGAACAAGCUAAUGAGUUGGCUCAAUCGACUUCAGGGUACAAAGAGCCGAAACAAGAUCAAGUGUAAAUAGAGAGAAGAUUAUUGCCAUCGGUUCAUGUACGAGAACCGAUGAUGAUUGCUCCUGUUGAAACUGAGAAAGAUUGGAGAAAAUCUUAAUCGAAUUUUUGGAAGACCCUAAUAAACGGGUCGAAUAUCAUGUUCGAAAAAAGGCACUCGACUAUUGUCUAUUAAAUGGGCAGCUCUAUAGGAGAGCAGCCGAAGAGGUGUUAUUAAAGUGUUUAGACCUGAAGAAGCCUUAUUGAUUAUGGGUGAAACCCACAAGGGUUUAUGCGGAGCUCACUUAGCAGGAAAAGGAUUAAGAUGAACAAUUCGACACUUGGAGUAUUAUUGGCUGACUAUGCAUCAAGAUUGCAUAUAAUAUGCCAAAGGAUGUCUAGAGUGUCAGUUUCACAGCUCUAUGCAAAGGGUCCCUGCUUCUAAGAUGUAUACAAUAAUUAAACCUUGGCUUUUCCGAGGAUGGGCCAUGGAUUUAAUUGAAGAAAUUCAGUCGAAUUUUUUGGCUAGUCAUAAGUUUCUAAUAGUAACUGUUGAUUAUUUUACCAAGUGGGUAGAAAUAAAACCAACUAAAUUUCGUAGAGGAUUCUAUAAUCCAUCAUUUUGGAAUUCUCGAAACGAUUACAACUGAUCAAGGGACAAUGUUUACCGGGGAAUAAUUCACUCGGUUCAUUGAAUCAAGGAAAAUUAAGCUGCUUCAUUCAUCACCUUACUACGUUCAAGCAAAUGGGCAAGCCGAAGUGGCAAAUAAAGUUAUUAUAAAUCUUAUGAAACAGCACGUUGGAAGACACCCAAGAAAAUGAAAUGAAAAGCUUUCUGAAGUAUUAGGAAUGAUACCGUUUCAGUUAGUCUAUAGUCAUAAGGUCGUAGUUCCAGCCGAAAUAACAAUUCCUUCUUUACGGGUAGAAAGACAAAAAGAACUAACGGCAAAUAAAUACAAGACUUUGAUGAAUGAAGGGUUAGCAGUAACCAAUGAGACUCGGUUAUUAGCCUCAAUCACUUGCAAGCUUAUCAGACCUGAGUACGAAAUGCGUAUAACAAGAGAGUUAAAGCUAAGUCUUUCUCUGUUGGGGACUUAGUUUUAAGAUUAAUAUUUUCAAUCGGUCGAAAAGACCGAGUGUAUGAAAAAUGGUCCCCAAAUUGGGAAGGACCAUUUCAAGUUUACAGAAUCAUAAGACGUAAUGCAUAUUAUUUAAAAAAUAUAGAUGGGUCAAAGCAUAAUAAACCAAUCAACGAAAAAUAUUUGAGAAAGUAUUACCCAUCCAUAUGGGAAAGGGGAUAAAAGUCAGAGUCAAAGACAUUAAAAUAUAUUACAGCCGACAGCCGAAUCAAAGUAAAAUAUAGAAUUAAGAUAAUAGGUCUUUAAGUUGAUUCCAUUCGGCUUCCAAAUGUGCUUGUGCUAUAUCGGCUGCUCGCUUCCUGCGCUUCAUCAAGGGAUGCAGCUUAUAAAGUUGGGAGAGACGGUCUUGAAGCUUCACCCCUUCAUUUUUCUUGACUUUCAAUUGGUCCUAUAAUAGGGUCUAUCGCUCUGAAGUGUGGGCCAAAGCUGAUUCGGCUGCAGUCAGUUUUUCUUUGAGAGUAGAAUGUGCUGCCGAAGGGCUGAUUCUUGAUUCUCUAAAGACUUGUCUUCUUGGCUCAGGUCGGUAAUCGGAGUUGCCACUUCAGGGAUUUUCAUUUUGAAAUGACCGACCUGAUUAAAAUGAUGAUCUAAAGACAGGAACUUGGCAGAAGAAUUUGUUGCCGUGUUAAAAAGGAAAAAAGAUGAGUUGAUAAGGUUUCAACGAAGCAUUUACUUACAACAGGAAGAUCCGGCUGGUCUAUAAGGGCGAGGAGGAGAGCGCCAAGCUGAUCAAAUUGUUCCAUGUUCUGAGCCAGAGUAGGGAGACCACUACCAUAAAGUCUUAAACAUUCAUCCAUUUUUCGUUGAGUUUCAGCCAAUAUGGUAGAAGAAUGAUCGUCUCCUUCUUCAUUUGAUUUUGGGCUCAAGGCGGCCAAAUCUUGAAGAGAAAUGGCCAAAGGAUCCACCGAUUCAAAUACCGACAAAGAAGUCGAUGCAGAAACUUCAGGAAGGAUGUCAACGGGGAUGUCCACAUCCACUGCUAUUCGAGUACUUUCUUUCCCUUGUUCUACUUUUCAUUCUGUUGAUGCGGUUUGGUGCUCUGCUUCUUUUGUUUCUCCCUAUCCUUCCCCACUCUUUUUUCGGCUAUCUUCUUCCCUGUCAUUCUUUUCAGCCUCUUGAUAUUGUUCUCUUUUUUCCUCUACUCGAGUACUCUUCUUCUUCUUUUCCUUCCUCUUAUCUCCUUCGGCUAUCUGCUCUGCUUCCAUUCCCAUUUUCUCUGCUUUGAGUUUUUUAUCCAGGCGAGCUUCAUGGCGGGCCUGCCGCCCGAUGUCAGACAUUACCCGCUCCAAAGAUGAAGUGAAGCGACCAUGAGAAACCCUUUGCGAUGAGGUCUAUUUGAUUGAAGACAGUGGAAGUGAUCCGACUGAAGAAUGGGAAGAAGAAUAAUCGAUGGGAAUAGGCUGAGGAGUUACCUCAGCAGAAAUUGGAUCGAUAGGAGUUGAUUGAACUGAUUUUUUCCCUUCGGCUGAAACCUCAGCCUGUGGAAGUUCUGCCGAAGUUUUUUCGACAGGUGUUGGUGGAGGAGCAGAACGGAUUUUAAUUGCAACAGUCUUACGCUGCUUCUAUUGCGGCGGCUGAGUAGACUGUUCAGAGUCCAUCGAUCGUUUAUCGGAUUGCGGAGCCGAUGAAGUUGAAGCAGGAAUCGGCUAAAAUAAGACGUAUUAGACAAAAUAAUUACAUAGAAAAAGAAAAUACAAUAAAAAGUUAAGCUUACCGUAGGUGGAUGAUGCGAAUCCAUAGAAUCUUCAUCUGAAACAUCUUCUGGAGGAAUGGGUAAAGGUUUGUUACCUGAAAGACCAGAAAUAAAUAAAGGGAGUCAGAAGAAAGAAAGAGAAGGAGAUAAAAUUGCAAUAAUUAAAAGACAACGUACCUUCUGUAUGAAAAUCUUGGCAAAAAUAGGGGUCAUAAUAUAGUAAAAAUAUUGUUGGCAAAAAGUGCUCCAACUCCGAGUAAAGCGAAAGUCUAGCACUCCUGCAUGGUUAGGCCGAAAGCUCACAAGUUUGAAGAAUCGUUGCAGAUGAUUUCCCAAGGCCGAAAUGCGAUCAGCUUCAGCAUUACUUUUUGAAAGAGGACGGCCACGAGCAGUGUUGGCCGUAAAGAAUUUAGAUCGAGCCGGAAGUCCCUGAACCAAACCAAAUUGACGUGCCACAUAGUGAGGAGAAUACACCUCUGUGCUUGGCAUCAAAUUAGACCGAUUCUUUAAGCCGAAAUGUAAAUCUCUGGUAGCCAAAAUGGAGAACCACACAUCGGCAUACUCACUAGCUUGAGAAGAGGCUAACUGAUCUUGAAUAGCCUCGAAUCGAGUAAGAAGCCAAGGGGGACCUGUAGUGCGUUCCCCAAAUGGGGAUCGGAUGACAUGAAAGCGAAAGUCCUUCUCAUAAAAUACUUUGAAAUUACAAGAAAAAUAGAUCGGUUGACCAAGGGUUAAAGGCUCAUAACAACCAAAAGCCAAACCAAAAGUGUUAAAAUGAGAAGCUGAAUCCAAAUCUAAAGAAGUUUGGCACAAAUAAGAAAAAUAAAUUUGCAGACACAUCUGUAGGAACCACAAAACACCACAUUCAGAACUAAUAACCACGCCACCUAAUGGCAAUAGUUUGAUAGAUUCAAAGAUCUCCUUAUAAACGAAAGGAAGAAAAUAAGUAUCCAAAGCUAACUUUUUGCCGUUGGCUAGAGCAACAGUGAUAGGGACGAAAUCGCGAUUAAUCUUCUGCGAACGAGUGCAGAAAAGGUUAUGACAUAACCAGUAAGAAGGAAGGCUGUAUGUUCCUUCUUAAAGACAGAGGUAGAGGAUUGACUAGCAAACCGACGAAUGAACUUAGUAUAAGCCAGGUCAGCUAAGUCAAGAUGGGCCUCAAAAUCAGUUACGCCAUCAGGGUUGUAGACCAUAGAAAGAGUAAUACCGUGAGGGCGUAGGCCGACAAUUGCCGCCAUAUCGAGAAGAGUAGGGGUAAAGGGUCCAGCUCUAAAAAAAAAGACGUUGGAAAUAGGGGACCAAAAAUAGAGCCGCGACCAGAAAAAGGUUAUCGGCUAUAGGAGGAGUCCUGGAAAGCUAGAUAGCUUCAUAAAUCCCAACCUCACGCCAGAGGUCGGCAUAUGCCGCCUCUACGCGGUCUAACCAGGCGAGGUAAACUUCCGAAACACUUAGCCAAGUUCGAAGACUCUUUUCAAAUGAUUUUGAAGUCGCUGAAAUAUAACAAGAAGAGAGAUGAAUGGCAUCAGCCAUUAGAAGGAGACCUUCAACCGAAAAGGAGAAAUCCUUAUGAACAGGGUCAUCAAUGAAUGAAGGCCCUAAAACAAAUCGAGAAGGGUCCGAGUGGACGAAUUGUCGAAGUAAGGUAUAAUCGAGAGAAGGAGAAGACGAAAGAGGCGAAAGCGGUGCCAUCCCAGAAAAAUCAAAGGAAAUGGUGAAAGAAAGACCCUAAAAGAUCAAAGACGAGAAAAGCGAGGAUGAAGAAGACGAAAGCCUCAAGCGAAGAAAGAAAAGGAAACAUAGAGAGAAAGAAAACAAGAAAGAGAAAAGGGAGAGAAAAGUCGUCGGAUGGAAUUCCGAAGCUUGCUUUAAUGAUGAAGAGACAGCAGUAAUAAAUGUGACCUAAUUAAUGUCGCAUAUAAGACAAAAUGGAAUGUGGGAGAUCGUGGCCAUCGAAGGUGAAAGGGCGGCUGAGAGAGAAAUCGUACGGGGCAAUUCAAAAUCAUAAUUUUGAAACUCGCGCCUUUGGAAAAGAUUACACCAGCUACCGAAUCGUCUGUUCGGAAGCUGCCGAGGGGGCAAUUGUUAGGGCCAAUAAUAAAAUGCCACGUGACGGGUUGGUGCACAAUUCAGCGGGGAGCUAUGAUUAAAUAGCAUUUGGUGCACCGGGAGUAGAAAAGAAAAGGGAGUCACAGCAUAACCGCAAGCGAUUUUGAGCAGUUAGGAUCGGCUCGUAGUAUCCCACGAAAACAGGAGAGAGGCUGAUCGGCUCGGAGCGAUUUUGAGCAGUUAGGAUCGGCUCGUAGUGUCCCACGAAAUAGGCGAGUAACGUCGAAGGAGUGGUCUUUUUCCUGCCUAAAGAAGCCCACUUUUCAACUUCUCUGCAUUUUCUUGCAUUUUUAGGAGUAGUUCUACUUAUAAUCUUUUCCUUUCCCGCAUUUACUGUCUUUCUUAGAAGUAGCUUUAGGGUUAGAUUUCUGGAAUCUGUAUGCCCCAUGGGCACACUCUCUUUUGUACACAUUUCUAAAUUUAAUUUCAAUAUAUAUACAGGCAUUCGGCUCUUCAGCCGACCCAAAUUACUGUGUGUUCCGUAUAUUCGGCUCAUUCAGCCGAACCGAUUCUAUAGUAAAGGUCUUCAAACCCGGCUGAUCCGAUCACUCAUCAACUGAAUCGCUUGAUCCGUCGGAAGGCGCAAACUUCGAGGGUCAUCACGUGAAGCAGUACCCAAUUCCUGCACGCUUCCUUAGGGAGAUCUUUGACCAGGUCAAAGUUUGAGGAAUUCUGCUCCUAGCAAUAUCUUUACUAAACCUUUCCAAAGGAGAAAUUUGUAGAACUGCAAGAAAGGCUCGGCUUGGUUUCUCACAAGUUUGCACUAAGGAGGAGUGUUAAAAAUUAGUGCUAAACUUAUUUUUUUUUGUUUUCUUUUGUUUACUAGUUUAAUAAUUAUAUUUAUAGGAGCCCAAUGGUCUAUAUAUUGUUUAAAUGAGCUUCUUUUUUGUUCUUUUUGAGUCAAGUUGACUUGUGACUUAUUUUGGACUAAGUGAGCCAAGUUGGACUAUAUGGGUUUAGUUAGGGGGUCAAAAGAAAAUAAGGUAAGAGGAAAAAAGAGCUUCUUCUCUUUAGCUCCAAAAUUCUCUUGUUUUAGUGUUUCUCUCAAGUACAAGAGAAAUGUGAAAGAGGGUCCAAAUGUGGUUGGGUUUUUGUUAGGUUUGAGGUGGGUGACCUCUAAUCUAUCUCUUUUUCUCUCUUGUGAACAUUCAUUGUAAAGUGUUUUGAUUGAAGGUUUAUUUUGUACUUUUUGUUUUUCAUUGUAUGGUGUUUUGGAUACUAUUGGUGAAAUUGUUUAAUUUCAUAUUUGGAGUUGUUUGAGAUUAUUAUUGUGAGCUUCUAUUUCUAUGUUCUUGUCUUCUUGGGUGAAUAGAAAACUUGAAUUUUCGGUUUCUAUACAUAGGAGGAAAGUGUGCAGUCCGAUUGGAGCUGCUUUUACUUCUCUCUUCAUAUAAUAUUACAAUAGUGAAGGAUUACCUCGAAAAUAUCUUCGAGUGGAGGUGGGUAUCUCGUAUUACUAAUUGUCGGUUAUCUUACAUCAUGUCAUGUAAAUUACAAGUUUAACUCUCCAACCCCCUAAAUUCUUUCGGUACAUCAUUUUUAAAAUUUUAAUUUAAAAUUUUAAAUUAUCAAAUUUAAAAUUUUAAAUCUUAAUUUUGAAUUAAUUUUCAAUUUUCAAUUUUUAAUUUUUAAAAUUUUAAAUUUUUAAAAAUUUAAAUUUUAAACUUUUAAUUUUAAAUUUUAAAUUUCAAAUUUCGAAUGUCAAAUUUUAAAUUUUAAACUAUAAAUUUAUAUUUUAAAUUCUAAAUUUAAAUUUUAAAUUUUAAACUUAAAUUUAUAUUCUAAAUUUUCAAAUUUUAUUUAUAAAUUUCGUAUUUAUAUUUUAAAUUAAAAUAUUAAACUUUAUAUUUUUGUUCAAAUUUAAAAUUUAAAAUAAAAAAUUAAAUUUAAAUUUUGUAUUUUGUAUUUUAUAUUUAUUUAAAUAAAUUUAUUUAAAAAAUUUAUUAUUUGUAAACAGUAAAAAAAUUUACCAAAUAUGAGUAUGGGUAAUUUUGAAAUACACAACGCUUUAUUAUCAAGAUUACUGAUCUUCGUAAACUAAACCAAAUAUAGUAAUUCUAUAUAUACUGUAAUCCAACAUUAUAUUACUACAUUAAACCAAACGCAAUAAUACAGCAUUAGUAGUAAUCUGAUUCAAAAAUCUCAGAUACCUGAUUAUGUUAAAAUAACAUGUAACGUUACAUAACGCGAACCAAAUGCGAGCCGUUUGAUUCACGGCUUGCAAUAUUUUCAGUAAUUUUCUUAUUAAAAAUAUUCAAGUUAUUAAUGUUUAACUAACGUUUAGUAGUUGUAUAAGAUAUUAGUGAUGCAGUAAAAUCAUUGUAGAUUCCUAAGUGACAAGAACACUAGAUUAUUAUUGGUUAUGAGAAAUUCUCAAUUUCAUGAUUGAUAAAAAUAGUCUAUUAAUAAGGAGAUACUAAUUCUUACAGCCUCCUAACUUAAAUGGCUUGAUAAGUUAAUAACAUAUUUACCAUUACAAAUAUUAAAUAUAUAAUAUUUUUAAAAUAUUAUAAAUUCUGAACCGAACGGCUACUAUGUAGUAAAUAGCAUAACAUUUUUAUAUUAUUCUCACUGGUUUAAAUAAUUGAGCAUUCAGAUUGUUGGCGACACUGUUAAAUAUGACUUAAUGAUCUAAAACUUUGUAAAUAAAAUUUCAAAUUGUUUAGGUAAUUUACAAAAUGAUUGAAUAAAAAUUCAAAAUCAAUAUUUUAAAUGGCCAAGACAUUUAUCAAAUAACAAUAUAGAAUAAUAUAAAUUAACUAAAAAUUUAGUUAAAAAUAACUAGAUCACAAUCAAAAACUCUGUUAUUUAAUUUUUUUAAAAUUAAAUCCUCCGCUAGUGUUUUGAAUGUUAUUUGGUUGUGACUGUUUAUUUUAUGGCCACUUAGCAAAGUGUAUUACAAAAUUAUAAAACUUAUUUACCACAUAUUUUAUUAAUUUAGAGCAAAUUUAAGGACAUUGAUUGAAAAUUUAAAUGCUCUGAUCAUCCAAAUAGGGUAGUACAAAAGAUUCGUGUUAUUUAUUGCUUAAUAGCUCCACUCAUCACAAUAAUUAAUAAUAAUAACUCUUAGAUUUGUACCAAUGCAGGGCUAUAUUAAAGGCUUAAAUUACACUUCUCGAACUAUACUGGUAAUAAUUUGAUUCUUAAAUAGUAAUUUAUUAUAAUUUUUAAUUCAAAAUUAAUUAAUUAAAUAUUAACUUACGACUAAUAAAAAAUUAAUAUAAUAUUUUAAUUUUUAUUAUGUCAUCAGGAUGCAAUACUACUAGAUUACAUCAUAUUAAGAGCACAUCAACAAUUAGUCACUAAAAUUCAGUUGUAAAAUUUAAUUACAACAAUUCAAAAUUUUGAAUAUUCAAAUUAAAAUUAUAACGUAUUGUAAUUUAAAAAUUAAAAUAUUAUAUACCUCAUAAUAUGAGCCAAAAAUAUAAUUUACUCUUAAAUUAAGAUAAACUAGUGCAGGGACCGUGCUUCUCAAUGGGUUGUCAAUUAAAAUAUAUAAUUAUUAAAAUUUUACGAUUAAAAAAUUAUUUAGUACAUUAAAAAAAUAAUAUUUUAUUAAUAUUUUCUUAAUUUUUGAAUAGCUAUAUUAUUCUAACAAUUUUAUUUAAAAAUUAAUCAAAUUUAAUAGUUUGAAAAUUGUUUGAUAAAUAACUUUUUUAAUUAAAAAAAUUAAAAAUCUAAAUAUAUCACUUAACUCUACAGAUUUAGUUAGUAUAUAGAUUUAGUUAGUAUAUUUUAUGUGAUUCUUGCAACUAAAUUUCAUAAAAUAUAAAAUUAAUUUAAACUACAUCAAUCUUUCUUUUAUUUUUUAAUAUAUAAUAUAUAUUUAAAUGCUCAAUAUUAUAAAAUUAAAAUUUACAUUUAACACAAACAGUCUAAACUAUUUAAAAAUUAUUUAUAUAUUUUAAAAUUUUAUAAUAAAAAAUUAGAUUGAAUUUUAAAAAGAUAUAAAUUCUUUUGUGCAUAUAUAAAGAAAGCAAAAAAAAAUUUAAGAGAAAAAAAAAACAAAAAAAAAAAAAAAAAAAAAAAAAAAAAAAAAAAAAAAAAAAAAAAAAAAAAAAAAAAAAAAAAAAAAAAAAAAAAAAAAAAAAAAAAAAAAACACUAG